AUCGAAUUCAUGAUCAAGACCAUCCACUUCUAUAAGAGAGCAACCAGGCUUCUUCUGGAUACCCUGAUGUCCCUGAAGAAGGCAUAUCUUUCUGACGACUUCGAGGAUCUAGUCCUUCUGCAACUUCCUUAGACUAGGAGGAGAUCCGAAAAGGUGAUGGAAGAAGAUGUUAAAGCAGCAGCUACCUAAUUAAUGGAAUUACAAGGCACAGUUCUUUUUCUUUUUUCAGUCCUGUUUGCCACUUUGUGAUCCUAAUUUGGUUUGUAUGGAAUAGGGAAAGUUUCUCCAUAUGGUAUGAAUGUAUAAUGGUGGUGGUGUUGUUGCUGCAACCGAGCUUCCAGUUGAUAAAAAUAAGCAACGCUAUUUAACAAUAUAUUGUGAAAAUCUAGUAAUAUAGUUGGUCUUGGCAUCCAUUAGAACGGAGCUGCCAUUUAUACGAUUAAUCUAGUGAACCUGGACCAACAUAUUCGCGCGAACAAGAAGAUCGAUCAUACAGCCGACCGAUGCAUAGUGAUCAACACGAGGAGUAAGCAUAUAAGUUUCAGACAUGGCUUUCAAUAUCCCGAACGCCGUUAGAUCGAAUUAUUACCCUUCUCGUUAACUUUGACUGGUUCAGGUUAGUUACCCCAGCAGUUGUGGUAAAAUUAUAAAGACAGGGUUUUUACUUUUGAGGUACAAAACCAAAUCCAACACACAAUCUGGAAUCUGGAAGUGGGUCCCACAGAAACCCUUACCCUUUCCUUCACUUCAGUACAAAACCAAAAAAACAAAAACAAUCUGUGUUCUGGGGAUGUAUUUUAUCAAAAACAAAGGAGGAGUGGAUUUAAUUCACAUGCAAGUAUAACAAAUAUUGCUUUGCAUGAUUUUCUUUACCUUUGAUUCAGCCUCUUCAAUUCAGAAGGUAUUCAAUUGUUUCAGAUGGGUUUACCAAAAUUUGUUUUUUUUCAGAUUCCUGUAGAUUGUAAACUGAUUAUAGUUAUAAGGAUUCUUCUUUGUCUUCAUUGUUUCUUCAAGCAAGAAAUUAUUUAGCUUUUUAUGUGUAAGAGUUUGAGAGGAAGAGAAGAAUAUACCUUCCUGUAGUUGAAUUGUCUAUGCCUCCCUAGAAUUCACAGUUCUUCUCGAAUUGCUGAUGGGUAAACAUAAGAUCCAGAACAUUGGCAAAAGAUUAGAGCUUUCGAACUGAAACAGCACAAAAGUAAACAGCUCAUGAAGUACUGAACUAAAUUCUGGAAACAAUUCAAUUACUCCUAAUGAAAAAAGAAAAUUUCAAUUUCGGUUUACUCCUGUUGUUUUGGGUUUAUUUCAUUGUUGUAUUAGGUAACAGAGUUUUUCGAUAAUGUUUCUUUCCGAGUUAGAUCAUGUUUCCUAAUCUCAGUUGGUUAUAUUAUGUUUUAUGUUAUAUAUGACCUCCAAUAUGGAGAAGAAUAAGAUUAUAGAAGAGAGGGUGAUUAUAGAAUAAGAUUACAGUUGUUAACUAUAUAGACAACUACCAUAAGUUAUUGAUUCUCUAUCUUCCCAGUGAUAUCAGUUCUUCAAGCAUGGAAAUCGACUCACAUUGUUCUUUCUACAGCGUGGAACAAUUAGGAACAAUUGCACCCAAAGUCCUUGAAAUCGCGAACGAAGUGGACACAAUAAUCAGAUUCAGAAGCUUUGACAAGAUUGGUAUCAGCUGGAAAGAGGCUCCAAUACCCAUUAUUUAUGAUACGCCAAAACUUCUUACUGAGAGAAGGUUUUUUGUCCUUCUCUCUGAUGUCAAACGAUUAUCCAAAAGGCAUGUGUAUACAAAGAUGAUGGCUGAGAAUCUUUCAAGCUUGUAUGUAGGAGAACUUUCGCAGGCACCUGUUCUUGAAAGAAUAUUUAAGGUGGUUGAUAAAGCCGUUCCCGGGGUGCCUAUUAAUAUUAAUAUAUAUUAUGUGAGUAUUCGCUUCUUGGACAGUGGAAGUAGUGCUGGCAUUGGGGAUAUAACACCUCACUUAUCGGGAGGGUCAAGGCGUUCAAACGAUGAAGUUAUUAUUGAUAGGGCUACAAUAUUUAAGCCGAUUCCUGCAACUAAAUCAUCCAUUGAGGCUUUGGAGAAACUGAUGCCUGAUAGUUUGGAUGCUAAUGUAAGAGAGACACCAUGUGCCAUUUGUAGAGAGGCUCUUGAUCACUUCAUUGCUGUAGAAGCGGAGACUGAUCAUCAGCCGGUAAUUAGACGCUUGCCCUGCUCGCAUAUGUAUCAUGGAGAUUGCAUAGACCUGUGGCUUGAUAUAAAUAACUUUUGUCCCGUGUGCCGAUAUUCGUUGGCAGCCGUGGAAGCUGUUAGAGAGGCAUCAAUGCCUGGUUUUGCAAGCGAAGCCAUUGAUAAGAUACUUCCCUCAGGAAGAAGGCGGCUGGAUUGGCCUAGGAUCAUGAUUUCUGCCGUUGGUAUGAUAACUGCUACUUUGUUUUGCAGAUUAGUUAAGCGGAGUUGAGGGUAUUGGCAUGAGGGGAAUAAAUCGUCUGCUAUGUCGUUGGCCGUCCAUAAAUAAAUAGGACCAGAAUAAAGCCUUCCAAUAAAGCGUCCAUAAGACGCUUACUGUGCCACUGGCAUGUACCUGGCUUUUUGGUUUUUCUUAUUUUUUCCUUUUUGUAGUGUUUAUUAUUGGUUUCCUUAAACUUUCAGCGGACACGAUUUGAUUCAUAAUCAUUAAAAGAUUACUCCUUGUCUCUGUAGAAAUUAAGCAAAGCUGAUUAGUUUUGUGAGUUUGCUCGUUACAGUCACCUCAAUCUCUUUUGAGAAGUACUGUCUCUUUGAGUUUGUUAAAACUUUUAGUCCUCAGUUAUUACUUUUGAUUUUGUGUAUGCUUUUUCAUAAUACUUAUUAGGUACUUUAGGGUAAUUUCUUCAUUUAUUGUAUUUGUUUGUGAUUAUAUACUAAACUAGAGUAGAAGAUGAGAAAACUGGUACUUGUAGGUUCUUUGAUUUUAUUUCAUUAUUUUUGAUGUUGUUUAUAAUUCUUGUUAAGUAUGUUGAUUAACUACUUUGGAGUUUCAGCUUGGGGGGGGGGGUUCGGUUGUUUUAGUUCCAUAUUUUUCUUUAUAAAAGUUUGUGACAUUUGGGACUCAGGUCUGUAUGUAAAGUUUAAAGUGGAAAUAGGUUAUGUUUUUUAAAUGUUGAAUUAUGGCACUUAAGUGAUUUAUUCAAUUUUUUGGGAGCAACUAUGAAGGUGUUUAGUAGUUUAUUGAUAUAAUGAUAUAAGUUGAAAUUUGGAAACUUGUUUUUAGUUUUUUGUUCAUCUUCAACUUGUCAAAUCCUAUAAUUGAGACACAGGAUUUCCACUGCUAAUGAAGGCGCUCAGAAUGCUCAAGCGGACCAUUGGAGAAACAGAGCUGGUGGGUUUCUUAUACAGUGAUUACUUGCACCAUUUGGCAUGUUGAGUUGCUACUGUUCGAAACAAACACCGAUUAAUGCAAUUCUCGAGAAAUUCAUUGUGAGAACUUUACCAGAAGUCUCUCUACAAUCAAAGGCUCAAUCUAUCAAGAAACCACUGUGCGAAGAACAAAUUUUACAGGUAAUUGGUGCUUUUUUCUUUUCUUUUCUCGUGCUGAUAGGAACUUAGAUUCCUAUAUUUUAUGUUGCAUAUUUGCUGUUUUGGAAUUUAACUGGUUGUAUAAGGACUUUAGAAGCUAAAAUGGUAUGGCAGCAACGCGAAUUUGGAUCGCGAAGCUCCACAAUGUUUGAAACUGAUGUGCGUAACAGAAGGGAAUAAAUGCUGUAGCAGCAUGCUUAAUCUUUUCUAAUUUGAUUGUCUAGGUAUUAGAGUUCAAAAUCUUGUGUUGGCUGAUCUAUGCUUAAAUUGUCCUUGUGGUUAACUGUGCUUGAAAGAUUAAACUACGAAAUCAGAAUGCUUGUAACUUGCAUCAUAUUUUCACUGCACAUUGUGGUAUGGUUGCUUUAACUGUGUACUUGAGUGUGAUAACCAUAGAAGUAAUGUGUCCUUUCUAGUCAAUAACUUCUUGUAUGCAUUCCUUAAGUAUUUGGCUUCUGAAAUGCGACGAGUGUCAAUAAAUUCUGCUUAUCGUGGCUUGGUUGUUUCCUUUUUCAGUCGCAUCAAUAACUGAGGGGCGGUCUUUGUAUCCCUCGUUUUGGAUCCAAGUUGUGAUUUGACUUUAAAACUCCAUUUGAUUUGGGGAGACUUUAUAUUUUCCUUCCUUGUGUCAUAUUUGUUGGAAUGUUUAUGAUAUCAAUGCUAGCAUGUUGUCUUGACAUCCAUUAAAGAAGCGUACAUACUUCCUCUGCGUGCAUAUUCCCAAGUUUCUUUAAGCUCACAGAAACAGAUGGCGUUACAUUGUAGACUUCUAUCCAACAGACCUUACUAUGGGUGUAGGACUUUACUUUUUAAUUCAGUGACUAUUCACAUGUUGAUUUCUUUUCAAGUCCGAAGCAUUUCACCUUCAUGCAUAUCUACAAUAUUAUUUAGCUGGUAGACAUGUGAAAUAGCGAAUGACAUUGGUAUCCAGUAACUUCACUGUAGGUCAAUGUCGUCUUAAAGGUUUUGUUUCUGGUCAAUAUUAUUUCAGAUCUUGAGUUUUAGACCAUAAGUUUCUGUACUGCACUUACUAACAGUUUGUGUCAAAUGAUAUGCGAGUAACGUUCACUACAGGUCAGUGAUUGUUGACAGUGUUGAUUGUAUAUGAUUACCUGCAGUUUCUGUAAUGACAUCAAAGGGGAAGAGGCCGAUACAAAGUUGGGAAAAGCGAAGGGAUCAAAAAGUCUGGUGAAGUCAAAAUGGUGGAUAUCAGAUAGAAUAGAACCCAGAUUUGAGUAGCUUUUAACCAUCUCACAAAGCAUGAACUGUUUAGUUCAAGAUAAUUGUUUACUCCACAAAUUGCUAUUAUUGAAAUGUAACUACAGUAUUUUCUUUGCUUGGUGCUGUCAAGUGUGUGUUACUAAUGUAAAAUGUUAAACACUUAAAUGCCAUGAGAUUUUAAACUGCAUUCAAGUGUUUAAUGCAAACGUAGUUACCGGCAUGCAUCGAGGCCAGUAUUUCUGGUCCUCUGAUAAAUUUGACAGUAAAACCAAUGAAAUAAAGCUCUUCUUUGUCAGAAUCCCAUGGCAACAACACUUGAAAACCAUCCUAUAUAUAUUUAAAAAAAAAAAAAAAAUACCAUAACGAUAAUACUUAUAGUCAUAGACUUGAUAGUAAAAGCAAUAUACAUCCUACUAAAACUCUUUUUUUUAUAAAAGUCCCCUGGCUCCCAUACUGUACGAUGCCGUAUCAAAUCGAAAAGAACAGAGCUCCAAAACAUUGAAUACUUAUCCUCUUCAUUCUGCCUCACCUCCUCAGCUCGUCAAUGAGCUCACCAUCCUUAAAGGCAGACACAAGCUUUUUUCCAUCAUAUUCCUUCAGAUCUUCCACCGUGUACAUGUCAGCAUCUACCAUGAGGAGAAAUUCAUACUCCAUUUCCUUAAGGAGUUCCAAGAUUGAACAGUUCACCCUCCACUUCUUGCUCUCACAAUUAACAUAGUAAAUAACAUUUUGACCAUCCUUCAUCCUGGUCACAUACUCCUGGAAGCUUGUGAGCUCUUCACGACACUUGGUGGAGUGGUAUCGGAGCAGGUUACCCAAUUGGGUUCUGUUCUGCCUGUCCACAUGAAUUCCCAGCUUCAAGUUCUUGGAAAAUGCCUCAUAGAACUUUGUGUAAUCCGUUUUGUUUUUAGCAAUCUCAUUAAACAUCUCAAAGCAAUACUUUACGAUGUUCUUCCUGAUCACAUCCAAAGUCAUUCUUUGUCGAGGCAUUUCACGACAUAUGUUGAGUGGCAUGUGGUCAGAGCCUACAACACCCUUAACAAAUUCAAGGUACUCUGGAACCAACUGAUCCGACUUGUCCAUGAUGAACACCCUCCUGACAUAAAGCUUGAUGUUAUGAGAUUUCUCCCUGGUGUCAAAGUGUUGGAAUGGGGCACUCUUAGGGACAAAGAUAAUGCCAUUAGCUUCAGGCAUGGAGAAAUGCUUGAACGCAAGCAGGUGUUCCCCAUCACUGGUCAACCUCUUGAAGGGAUGAACAUACUCAGCCAUGCUGACCUCCUCAGGUUUAGAGAGCCAGCAUGGUCUAGGAUCAUUGAUAAUCUUCUGGUCUGUUUCAGUGCCGGAGAGGCCAACUGGAUCGCUCACAAACUCAGAGGCAAGCUUCCUUGAAAGGUAUAUUGGAUAGCUUAUGAAUUCUGAGUGCUUCUUCACAAGCUCUUCAAUCCUCCCCUCCUCCAAGUACUCCAUCUGGUCAGUACCGUUACACAAAAACGAAAGUUAAUUUCCAAUGAAAACAUACAAGAAAAACUCAACAGGAACAGGUCAUUGGUUUUAAAUUAUACCUGAUCUGCUUUUAGGAAAAGAGUGACCUUGGUGCCCCUCACAAGUUUCUCGCCAUGGACAUCCUUGAUGACAGUAAAGAAGCCAUCACCCUGUGAUUCCCACAUGUAUUGUUCAUCUUCAUCAUGUUUUGAGAAAACCUGGACUUUGUGGGCGACAAGAAAAGCAGCGAAGAAACAACAACCAAACUCUCCAAUCAUGCUCGGAUGAGAUAAUUCCUGUAACUUCAAAUACUCCAGAUACUUGUUAGUUCCCGACCACCCAAUAGUACCCAAUUCAUGCUUCAGAUCUGCAUAUACAUGAAUGAUAGACCAAAUUAGAUUCAGUGGAACAAUUAAACAAAGUCAAAAAAGGCUGAAUACUUAAUUCCCUACAAAUCUACAAUUACACAAUGGUUUAUUUGUAUUAAAACACAUAUGAUGCAUUAAAAGAAUGCAGUAGAUGCAGUAUCAAAAUAUUCAGUAACCUGCUUUAGUCAUCCCUAUGCCAUUAUCCGUGAUAGAAAGUGUCUUUUCAGUCUUAUCAAUUUCAAUUUCGACUGAAAGUUCUGGAUGACAACCCAGGCUCUGCAUUUUAAACCUGCCCAAAGCCUUAAUUGCACAAAACAAAACACCAUCAGUCCCAAAAUUCACAGAAACCCAAAUCCUAACCAAAAUCUUUCCUAUUACAAUGGUGGAGACUUACAUCAGAGGCGUUGCUGAUCAGUUCACGAAGAAAAACCUCUGGGCUUCUAAAAAUUCGUUUGAUAACCUCUAGACCUUCAAAUCGCGUACCUCAAUAUAUGCUGCCCCAACCUGAGGUCCCUCAAACUCAGUAACAAAAUCGUCAAAGCCAUUCCAUUCUAACGGAAGACCGAGAGUCAGGACUUGAUCAAUUUCAGAUUCAGGUUCAGGAAACUGCACAAAAUGACCAAAUGACAAAAUAAAAUGUACAAGUUCGGACGGACUUACCCAUGGAGGAUCCUCCGGAGGCAUCGCGAUGAAGAUUGGCAUCUUUUCCUUCAUACCAGACAUCUUGCAAAAGCCCUCCUCAUAUGCUCCAACAGGUUGAGCUCCUCCUCCUAUGAAAUCUUUGGGCAUGACAGCUUCAGAUUCAAAGGGCAAGAUGAUACCUGGGUAGCCCCCUGACAUAGUUUUCAACCUCACCCUCUUGCAAAUUAUCGGCAAAAGAGAAUCGAGGGUUUCUUUUAUAGUGAGAUUAGCAUUUGAUCAGUGAUUAAGGGGCGAGGAAUUACAAAUAAGCCCUCGUUUUACCUAUUUAAGAUUGGAUUAAGGCAAACCCAUUGGCCCAUUAAACGUGGCACGUGAUUUGCUCGUGGAAAGUUGGAAACUAAAUAGUAAAAUACAAUCAAAUAUUUGCACUCCAGUCCACAAUUCCACAAAUAUACAUUCCAGGCCACAAAACAAAACCAAAAAGCAAAUAACCAUAUAUGCAUCAAGACAUAUGGUAGUCCUCUGUGUUCUAGAGACCUUCUGCCCUCUGUUGUAUAUCAACCAGAAUACAGAUGCAAUGUCCUUUCAUUUGCAGCACAUUUGAGAGAUCAGCCUUCCCCAUUUGUCGGAACAUCAAGAUAGGAGACUGUAAUUAGAACAUGGCAGUGAUAUGUCAGCUAGACAGCAACUCAGCAUAAAAUGGAAAUAAAAUCCACUAUACAAGCGAGAGUUGUUGUCACUUCCAUUUAUCGAUCAAGUCUUUGAAAUACCUGUUACCCAAAGCUAUAUAACAUGUAUUACAUUUUGUAUGUUCAACUGUCAGCUCCAAAUGGCAAAUGUGUCUACAUGAACAGUAUGGCCUAGUAGCUUCACUAGCACGUUAUCCAGGUAAAAAAUAUAAAAAGUUUGAAUCAAUAAUGAAAUAGUUUAAGAAUGGAAAUGAAGCUGACCUUACUCGUGUUCAAAUUGGUUUCUUGCUCUACGCAAGUUUCACACUACAUGGAACCAUGUUGAUUCAGCCUCAGGCACUCAAGCUACCUUGUGGGUUUAUUGUCACACAAAUUUGAUAACUGCAUAUAAAACAUUUGAAAUUUCAGGUUCAAGAAGACCACAACAUUAAACACUGGUAUACCGGGACUAUGGCAAAUCAUGCAUCAUAUUAAGUAUAUUGUUUGAACAUCUAUUUUUGAAAUGCAGAGACAGUAGCAAAAACCAUCAGGCAAAUUGAGCAGUCACUAGCUUAUUGUGUUUCUAGUCAGGGUUUCCUUUUUGGUUCAGGCUUUCUAUAGAGAACUGUGUGUUAUGGAUGCAUGGAUUUCUAUAUUUGUCCUCAAUUGAAUACUUAGAAUCCUUGAUUCCCUCAUAGAGGUCCUCAGCCUUUUCAGUCAAUUUUGCUGCAGCAUAGCAGUGAAGGAGAGCAGUAUAUGUCUCACUAGUUUUUGCAUUAGGAGGUAAACCUUCAAAGUACCGUUCUGCAGCAUCAAUACCAAAGACUUUUGCCAUCAAGACAAGGUGGACUGCAUAAUCCGAAUCUAAUAACUCAAACUCAUUAUGGGCGAGCAUCCACUCAGAUACCUGCAACAUCUGUAUUAAUUACAAAACAGAAAUUCACUUAUUUUUUAGGAAAAUUUUGAUUGCUACUGUAAAUUGAAAGAGACAUAUGAUGAUUACAGUUACUAUUCCAAUUUUGAUCAUCGUUUGAAAAGAAACAAAACAAAAGACAAAAAAAGGAGAUAAAAUUUUUGUUUCCGAAAACAUAGUUUGAAUUAUGAAAACUCCUGCACACUAUGAAACUGCAAAGCAAAACCAAUUGCUCAAUGCCUCGGGUCAAUACUGGACAUGUCCUUCAUGGAGGCUCCCCAUGUAAUGGUGCUGGCAUUUUUUUUCCGAAAAGAUAUGAAAACAACAAACCUCUAGUUCCAGAAUUUUUCGAAUCUUUUGCAAACUUUAAGAGAAUAAAUAAAAAAUCAAAAACAGAAUACAAGAAUGAAGCAUAACUAAAUAUAACAAUGAGAGUUACAAGGUAAACAUCCGUGUAGGUUUUCGGAGACAUUUAGGUUCAUAGUUUAGGAGAGAUGCCAUUAUCAAUAUCAUUACUAAUUCCUUGAAAGUAACUCAUGUACAUAAAAACAAAGUACAUCAAUUCCUAAUGAAUCCAUUUCCUAGAAACACAGAAAAUUCACAAUAUUUCACAUAAGACAUCGAUUAUUACCUGAUACCCAAGACAUUGGGGGUCGUCACCAAAGAGAAGGGUCUUGUAGUCCUAGACCUUGAGCUCAUGGUGGAACCAGGUUCUUCUGAGUACCUGAAAAGGAAAGCCUAAACCCAAACCAUCAAGCAUAUAGAUGGGAUAAAGUCCUCAUGCCAUCUUCAGUCAUAUUGAAUAGGCCUAACCCCUCAAACCCACUUUUUGUUUGAAUGAAUGUGACUAUCCAUGCAAUCAUUCAAGUCCAAGUCACCAAAUUUCACAUUUUAUCAAAGAGGAAAUGCAUCCCAGCAAUCCCCUUGAAUCGUCUCACAAACAUUUUCACAAGCACUUGGAGUGCAUGUUCCAAUGGCUUUACAAAACCAACACAACUGAACCGAGUUCAACGCUUUGCGAUGAGGUUGAAUUGAAUGAAGCAAAUGAAGGUUUUAACGUCAGGUUUAACCCUUCUGGGCAAGCAUGAGAAACGAACGCAGAAACGAAAAACGACGUUGCAUUGGCGGAGCGAGAGAGAAAGGGUACCCAGCUCUGAAAAGUCAAGGCCUAGAACCUUCUCUAAAAUAUAAAAAUAUGAGGCGUGUCCACCUAAUAUUGUGGAUUUUAGCACUCCAAAUUUCGUUGGGAGCAUUUCCUUUGUUCUUUUUUUUUUUUGGUUACGAGCAUUUCCUUACUUGGAAGAGAUUUUGUUGAACAACUAAACAACAUCCCAAUUCCAGCUUGGGUUUAUAGAGAAAUCGCCAACACCUAAACGAAUUCAAUUGUCAAUGGAGAAAGAACAGUUCUAGGGUGUCGACUGCGAUUUCCAUCUGCUUUGCUCGAUACUUUCAUGUUUCAGAAACUAAUCACUAUCAUUCUGGGUGGGGAAGAAGUAUCAGACUACUACAUUUCCAAUUUGUGGCCAUUCAUAAUAAACUUCUAGACGGUACAUAAAAGAAUCAAACUGUCGGAAGUAAAUGUUUUACUUGGUCACUCGAAAGGAACUAUAACAGCAAUGUCAUUUACACUCCUGAUGCAUAUUACUGUCUCAACAGAAAAGGCUAAAAAAAACAAACCAACAGCCAAGAAUGACCUACAAAAACACAGCUAAGCUCAAAAUUUCAUGUAAUCAGUAGUAGCUAGCUUUUCCUCUCUCUUUUCACUCAGUUUUCACGUCUGGGUCCUGUCCUCCGACGAGGAGCAGCACCGGUCUCCUUCUCGUUCUCACCAGAAGAACCUUCCUUCUCACUCUCUUCUUUCUUCUCUGCACCACUUCCAGAAGCCUCAGCGGCAACAGCGGGUUUCUUCUCAACCUUGGCCUGCACAAGACAAACCAACAUUUAGCAACAGUAACAACAUCAACAACCAGAACAGAAAAGAGGUUGGCACUUAUGAGGUUAUUCGAGACUCACGGGUUUCUUUCCACCAAAAAGGAUCAUGAAAAGUGCUGUUAAGAUGAUCACACCAAUGGAGCCGAUCACACCAAGCGUGAUAUUGGGUUGUUCCUCUGCCUUCUCAAUGAGAUCCUGCAAAAGAAGCUUGGAUAUUAGGACACACUACACAAAUUCAUCAUCAAAAUGAAUUGAAGAAACAAUGGACUAAUGACUUACAACUAUCUUAGUCUUGUAAGCAGCUAAGAAGGGAACAUCUGCAACCUUGUAUAGAAUGUCAAAUAUCUUCUUCUGCAGGAAGUUGACAAUAACAUAUUACUCACUGUACGAGGCAACCAUAAUAUCUUUUGGCAUAAAAAAUGUAUCACUUAAAAGCUAAGAAACCACGUACCUGGACAGUGGCUAAUAGACCUUCUGAACUAGGAACAUCUUCCUCAGCCUUCUCUUUCUCCUUCUCAACUUCAUAUUUUGGCUUCCACAGGGUAUCUCUGUAUGAACUGGCAACUUUCUCAUCUUUAGUAAUCAAAAUGUUGUCAAACAAUAUACCAUCUUGCAUGGUCCAGAUCUCAAUUCCGAUGGCGGCAAUGGGCUCAAAGUUGGGUUUCUCGAGCUCAAAGUAACUAGGGUUUGGAAUCUCCUGAGGCUUCCAGAUACCCUUGUAACUGGGGUUAUCGAUGAGUGGUGCGUGCCAUUUUCCCUUGUAAGCUGGAUUCCUCUUCAUUGGCCUCUUCCAUUCACCACAACCAGGGGCAGUCACACACUUGGGAUUGUCAAUCUUUGGGGCCUCCCACUCACCAUCCUCCUCGUCAUCCCAAUCCUCUGGCUUUGUGGCUUCAGGAUCCUCUACCUCCUCAGGUUCAUCAUCCAACCAUCCUUCAGGUUUCUCUGCUUCCUCAUCUUCAAUUUCCAUGGGUGCAUCCUCAUCCCAAUCAUCAGGUUUAACUGCAUUAGGAUCCGGAAUUUUGGCUCUCUCAUCCCAAUCCUCAGGCUUCUUAUCUUCUGGAUCAGGAAUUGUCUUGGUAGGGAUAAGUGGAGGCAUAAAAUCAUCAGCUGAUAAGAAGUUGGCCUUCUUCUUCUCCUCCCCGUCGACCAGAAUUAUCAACUCGUUAUCAGGUUUGAUGAUGGCAGUGUACACAUGAGAAAGUUUGUCAGCUGGAACAGAGGGUGGGGUGGUAAGAUGGUGUUCAACAUACUCUCCACUCUUGGGAUUCUUAUGCUUAAAGAUGAAGUGAACCUUGUUUGUAAGCCCACACUUGUCAGGUCCAAACAUGAUAGAAUACGGAGACUCAUUGUCGAAUAUCUUAGGUUCCCAUCCAGCCUCCUGGGGUCGAAGGUACUUCAGAUAGGCACCACCACAUUCAAGCCCAUUCUGGAGACGAGUCUCAAAUUGGAGGACAACAGUCCCAUCCUUGAGGCUCACAGGCUCAUCAACCUCCGUAACUAUUGCAUACUUCUUGGCCUUCUCACUCACAAGAAGCCCAAAAUCCUCAUGGCCCUCACUCUUUGAGUGCUUCCAAACACCUAAACAAAAAUAAUAAUAAAAAUAUAAAUACUCGAUCAUGAAACAUAGGUUCACAGUCUGCAAAAGAACAAUGCAAUAGUCCGGAAACAUUUUCCUAACGAAAGAAAGUUUAAAUCAUUGGAUCAGCAAACAUUCCACUAUAUAAACCCCCAUUCUAUCACUACAUCUAUAUAAAAUCAGACAGACAUGACAGACAUUUGAAAGUAUAUCAAGUGUGGCAUUAUCAUAGAGACUCAAGGCAUGUGAUUGGGUUCAAGCAAUGACCAACACUCCCAAUGUUUCAUCACACAAGUAUUAAACCUAAUUCGAAAUUGAGUUGUUGCAGUCAAUUACUACUAGUCACACUGUGGAUCAUUCUUAUCAACACAACUUGGAUCUCAUCUCUCUAAACAAUGCCUAAUAGCUCAUUCCUAAAUCAAUCUAAUAACUAGACUCCACGACUAAACAAAUAGUAAAAGCUGCUACAGCUAAACGCAAUGUUUGAGUUCGAUAUCCACAGAUCAUUCAGAUCAAUCAUAACAGGAUCCAACACGAUUCAAAAUCACCGAUCUUUAAAGUGAAGGAAACACUGACCUUGAUAUUCGUCUUUGCCAGACACGGUCCAUCGCCCCUCAAAUGAUUCGUCGAACGAAUCGUAAAACACCUACAAACCAAAACCAAAUCCAUAAGCAACUGAAAUUUGAAUCUGAGAACUACAGAUUCAAAUCGGAAACAACUACUAAGAAGAAGAAGAAUCAGUACCGUAUCGUCGGAAGCAGAAAGGUGCUGGAAAGCGAAGCAGGCAAAGAGCACGAAGAGCACCGAAACGACGCCGGAGCGAAUCCCAGCCAUCUCUCUCUCUCUCUCUCUCUCUCUCUAUUUCUCUCUGGUUCUCUCUCUCUGAGAUGUUCAGAUCUUUUUCUCGGGUCAGUUGUUCAUAUAGAUCUGUAACGACACUGCUUUCGAGUAGCUUCGGCCAAUCAUAUUACGCGCCACGUUCAGCGCGCCAAUGCCGUGCCGCCACGUCAAACACUUGACGCAUCGAUUCUAUUACUGUUGUUUGGACCGGCCUAAAGCCCAAUUGACUAUCGGGUCGGCUGUUUGUUAUUUUAGUUUUUUCUUUUUAUGGGGAAACUUCUAUUUAAUACAAAUUAUCUUCAUUUUCAGACUUAAAACGGCAAAAAAAAAAAAAAAGAGAGAGAGCAAGUCUUUCAUUUGAAUAGUCCCACUAUUGUUUUCUUCGUCGCCAAAUAAAAUUCUUAUGUAUCAAAAGUCUAGUCAUUCUGUUUUACAAAAAAAAAAGUCUAGUCAUUCUAUGUAAAAAAAAGAAAAAUAGUGAAGUUAUAUGAGAGGUGAGGUCAAAAUUUUGUAGUUCAAAAAAUAGAAUCACAAAUUUUUAGUUUAUUUAACAUUAUUUAAUGACUAAGAAGACAUGACAAUAGGUUAGUAUGAGAAUUUCAACCCUUGUUGUAUAGAGCAAGAUUUAGGGAGCAAAAUUAGCUAUAGGUAACAUAGUUCGUCCAGGCAUUUACUUAGGUUUUUGACCUCACCGACCUCAUGAGGUCAUCACCGGACGAGUAUUCAUGUAAGACGUCUAUGAACCUAACUAGAGGUGGGAUUUUUUUUUUUUUUUAAGGUCUGACCUAGAGGUGGUUCUUUAUAACCUCUCACUUGGUUACUCACUCUCUCGAUCCAAUUGAUCAUUUAUCUUAUUAAUUUAAUGUCCUACUUAGUUAUAAUUUAUAAACCUUUAUAGUUAAGAGGCUCGGUAUAACACAAGUAUUUCAUUUGUAAUACAUUUGUCUACAAUAAGUAAGUUUAUAACAUAACCUAUUAGCAUAUUGAAAAUUCGAAGGUUAUCCUCAUCCAUUUGAUAAUAGCUAGGAAACAUUGUAAGAGCUUCUUCGGUAGAGCCUUGUAGAAUACAAUACAAGUUCAUAAUGUUUCGAGACCAUACUAUACUAUAGUAUUGAUGAAUUAAAAUGACUUAUAAUCUAUGACAUUCUUCGUCUAUCCUCAAUUCUUUCAGGCUCUGACCAGAGAUAAAGAGGUGCCUUCCACAAUGCCAGCAGCCCACAAAUAGGAACGAUCAUCAAGAACAACAUCAUUACCCUCAUACGACAUUUGUAGUGCCUUGUUUUCAAUAUCCACAUGAUAGAACACAAGAUAACCUUUCAAGGUGCCCACAGUGACAUCUUCAUCGACCACCAACUCCAAGGAACGAUCGUCGGCUACCUUGAUUGUGACUGCUAUUUUCUUAACCACGAUGAGGACGGAACCAUUAGCAAUGCCGCAAUGUUGCACACUCAUUUCAUCACUUAACAAGGCCCCGUUUUCCAGGUACAGGUCUUGCCUAUCGGCAGCGAUUGCGAUUCUAUCUAUUCUUUGCCAAAUCAAGACCUUCAGUUGCAUAAUGGUGGUGGAAGCUGGAAUCGUCAGAGGGAGUUCUUCUUCUUCCCAACGAACCAUGAUCAAAAUGCUCUAUCAAACACGAAUCCCAGCAAUUUGUUAACAAAAGCGUUAUUAGUAACUAUAGUCUAAAAAAAAUGAAAUGAUCAGUAAUUUGAAAGACGAAUUCAGCUUGUGGAGAGCUCUUACCGGGGAAUUGUUCAUUCGAGGAUCCAUUUUUGUAUGGUAGAUCGACAAUUUUGUAGAUAAGUGCUUGUAAUACUUCUGUUCAUGGCAUUAGCAUGAGCUGCUUGAAUGUGUUCUAUGUGAUCGCUAUAGGAUUCCUCCUUCAUACAACUUUUGUUCCAAGUCACACUGGGGAAAACCAAAAAUGAGAUUUUGGCUAAUAUGGCAAUUGCGUACUAACAUAACUAUUUAUUUUGGGGAUUUUCUGUAUGAGGUUUAGGGUUUAGGUUCAGGCACCUUCAAAGCCUAGACUUCAAAUACCGGCGAAGCACACAAAACUGUAUCAAUAUUCCACUUUCAAUUUAAAUGAAGAUUGGAGCAAGCCUUACCGAAAUCCAUAUUAGAAUGUAAAGCACAGAAUCCAAGCUUUUAGUCGGCAGACAAAAUUGUCUAUGCUGGCCUCAAAAAGGAGACUUACCACAUACAUGGGCAGAGUUCACAACUUAUUAGAAAUGUAUAGAAAUAAUAGUUUCCUCUUCUAACAGAAAAACACAAUCCGCAUACUGAAAACAAAACUUAACCAAGUCUAGCUGCAACAUUUUCCUUUUCUCUUUUUCUCUUGCUCUAAAAGCUGUGUAUAACUUAACUCAUUUUCGGUGACAGGGUUGCCUGUAACCUUAGUUUUUCACCACUAGUAUUCUAUGUUCAUCGCUUGCCAACACCCUUUUUGACAGGAGGAACAAUUUCCUCUUCUUCGGAAUCAUAAUGUCCAUACUGCCAGUUCCCUCGUCGAUUAGUCUGUGCUUCUUCCUGGAACUUCUCCAAGUUGUCGAGUGCCGCCUUGCGAUCCUUGGUGUCAAAUUUCUUCUUCUUCUCUAGCCUAGCAAGUCCCUCCUGAAAAUUACACAACAUGAAGAAGAAAACAAUGAGAUUCUGUAGAACACUCCUAUAUGAUCAGGAUACUGAUUGAUUGAGAAUGAGCAACAUCAGAGCGAAAGGCAGUGUGAUAGUAAAACUAGACUAUGUAACAAAAGAAAAGUAACAGGCACCUUGAGCAUAAUGUGUGAAGUUCCCACAAUACAUCUUAAACCUUCCUAUGAUUUUUAAAUAUGAAGAUGGCGAAUAUAAGUAUCCAAUCUUCAUCAAGUGAGAGAUAAUAUUUUCUUUUAUGGAUGCUUUUACAGGUUCUUUUUAUGACGAUGUGCAUAUGAUGUGUAACAACAAAAUAGUAGGUAUUGUCAAACAAAAGAUUACAAGAGACAAGCUUUACAAGUUACUCAAAAGAGGACUAGAAAUUCAUACCUGGAGCAUGGCAGCAUUUAUACUGAUCUCUUCAUUAGCAGCAACUAGAGUUACCAAAAGAACAGGUCCAGUUCCCUGGCCUUUAACUUUGCCUCCUGUCAAGUCCCGGUCCUCAAUCAUGGCCGAAAACUCUUUGGAUAAUGUGUACUCACUCAAAAACUCUGCUGCUUCUUCACCAUGGUCCUGGGUCAAGGUGGGGACCUUAAGAUAUGCAAGGCUGCAAAGUUGGGCAAGACCAGGUGUUGCGGAAACAGAAGAAUCAAGAGGCCGUAACUGACUGUACGGGACAAACUCUUGAUUACCAUAAUCUAUGUAGAACACUUCAAAGUUGUCUUUAGCGGAUUCCACUGGUCCUCGAGGACCAUUGACAAUCUUUGCAUAUCAAUUAAAAAGCUUGUAAGACUUGGUCCAAAUAAACCACAGAUAUUAAUAUAUAUAUAUAUAUAUAUAUAUAUAUAUAUAUUUAAGAAAAGCAGGAAUCUGCUCUGAUAAUAUAUGAUAUGAGAGAUUUAAAUCUAAUUAAAAAGACUGAAAAUAAAUCUUCAUAGUAAUUCCUAGGGAUUCAAAGUUACACGUUUAAUAUAUGCUUAAAAUUGAUAAUGUUUUGAAACUAGAGAAACAGAAAGGGAAAGAACAGAUAUACAACCACAAGAUUUGAAUUUUCAUUUUAAUAACUGAAAACUAAGACUGAUGUAUUACUGAUGUAACUCACCAUUGCUCGGUUCCAGGAAUUAUCUGCACUAAAUUGAGCAAGGACAACAUCACCCUUCUUUGGAUUAAAAGCACCAAUUAAAGGAGCUUCUUGAAGGUUCAAAGAAGCAAGCUGUUGCUGAAUAGAAGAUAUCUUCUGGUCCCCAACUGUCUGAACAUAAAAUUUACCACCCUCCAGGACUUCUGUAACUACUACCUGAAAAUUCAGAACAGGACAGAUGAUGCAAUUAUAUUUUAACACGUUACACCACAUGGAAAAAAUGUGAAAAUGUGUGCUAAACUCGGAGCAACCCCAUACCUUAAGCACUUCCUUCUGUUUGGUAUCAGUUGGUUUACCAUUUGGAACUUCCUCUCCCUCAACAUAGUUCUCCCAAAUCUGCAAGAAAACGUAUGCCAGCAUCAUAAACAGGAAGACAGCAUUAUAAAGUCUAUCCCUAUUUAAAAAAUAAUAAUGAAACUAAUAUGCUGGUUCACAUACUUUCAGUUUCUUAUUUUUUGCAUUUUUCUCAGCUUGUUCAAGCAGGUGGGCAUCUGGGAUCCUGUCACUGCCUGCAAAGGAUGUAUAUUUUGCAAGACCAGCUUCAACGAGGGCAAUCGCCAUAUUUGUCCUCGAUUCCCAUAAAGAUCCCAAGAAAGUUCCAGUUCUAUCAACAGUUUCCACCUCAAUCUGCAUAGUGAUAACAAUCUCAGAAAGUAAAUAUAGAGCAAAGAGGAAAGCCAAUAUAUGAAUGCUAAAUAAGACUUACCUCAACAUCUCUCUGCAUUAUUCUUCGCCUCAUUAGUGCAAUUGCUUCAUUCGAAUAGGGCUCAUCACGACCAGGACAUCUUACACCAGAGAACGAGAAAGCAAUGCUACAUGUUUCCUUAGGAACCAAUAGUUUAAAUCGAUGACCACUGAGCACAUAUUCCACAACAGCAGGGAUUCUCCUACUUCGAUGUAAGAAUGGCAAGAAAUCUCUGGCCUUCUUGGCCGAUGCCUGACACAGAGAGAGAGAGAGAGAGAGAGAGAGAGAGAGAGAGAGAGACAUCAAUCAAGGAACGACCGAGAGAUGUUUACUAAAUUACACGGAAAACAUGGAUUACUUUUAAAAAUUAUAUUGUAUUUCUCACCGUUGUUAGGUCUGUUAUGUGCAUGGCUGGGGGUUCCUUGGAAGAAUGCAUUCCUUUCUUGCCAGCAGUAGCACGUGCCUCCGCAGAAAGAAGGGCAUCAUAAUAGCUUGAUCUCUCCUCAAAAUCUCGAUGUCUAAUAACACUACCAAAGCCACGUGCAACCACAAGCUCAGCAACAUUCACCCCAGACUGCUGGCUGGCUGAUGAAGCAGGAGUUGCUGCAUCAUCUCCCUCAGCUUUACUAGGGGUUGCAAGGAAGACUGAUCCAAAAUCCAUUAUCCUGGAAUCUGUAGGUCCAUUAGCAACUGUAGCUCCAUCUGCUGGGCUGACCUUUCUCGAGUACUCCAUUUGGACAUUGACCUGGAAAAAAUAGAAAAAUAAAAAUAUAAGAAUAUACCACCAAAGAUUAAGAUUUUUAAUAUUAUAUCACCAAGGAAGAAUAUAUCCAAAGUGCCUCUCAUACUUGGCGUCCAAUAAGGCGUGUUCUAAGGAACUCCUUUGCUUCACGGGCAUAUGCAGCUGGCUUUUCCUCUUUACGAGGAUUACCCAUUUUUGGACACCUAAUACUCGAAAGAUUUACUCUCCUCUCUGCUAGGGGACUACCAUAUGGAAUAGAAUCAUCGGCCACAAUAACACAGUCACCACUUACAACCUCCACAACCUGGAAGAAACCAAAAACCAUUACACGUGUAUAUAUGAAGAAGGGGCUGAUUGAUAUACAUAAGCAUGCAUUUGAAAGAGGAUAAUAAAUACAUAACUUUCCACACAAUAAAUUUUACGAUAUUACCUUUCCUGUAAAGUUCUGGUUAUGAAUUGGCUUCGAAUUUGUUGCCGGAGGUACAUAGUUUGUCCAAAUCUUCAACUUGCUUUUCUUAGCUUGAAGCUCUGCAGUCUUCAGCCGCUUCUUUGGUUCUUCCUCCAUCAUGUUUGCGCUCCAUUCAACAUAUUUUGCAUAACCCUAUAACACAAAAUUCAAGCAUUAACAGCAUGCCUCUAGGAGAACUUACAUAAGUUAACUGUCUGGUCUGAGAGAAUAUAAAAGGUCUACAAGAUAAAAUAAAUGCACCAACAAUUGAAAGCAAGCAUCCUACAAAUUCCAGUAAUAUGUACAAAAUUAUCAUUGCUUAUGUGAAAUAAAACUCUACAGUUUAUGUUCUUACAUGUUCCACAAGCUCCAGCGCCAAGUCUUUUGCGGAGUCCCCAUCAGGGUAGUAUACUGACCCGAUCAAAUUGCUGAAUUUGUCAACGCCUUCCAGAACAAUGCGAACCUGUAUAUCCAGUAAAAUAUUCAGAAAUUGAAAUAAACUCGAUGCGAAAAAGAUAAAAUUUAUCAUAAAUCUGCUUACGUCUCUAUUCAACACACGAAUUUCCGUAAAGUAUUUAGCUUCUAGUGCAAAUGGAUCCGCAACAGUUUCCGUGGUCGAUACUGUUGAAGCUGCAAUCCUUUGUGCAGAGGUAAGAGGGGCUCGAGGUUCAGCAGAGACAUCUUCAUUUGUUUUAUCUGAGGUCGUUUCUGCUUCAGGGACGGUUUCUGUUGGGAUAGAUCUCCUUCCCACUGAUGGGGCCUGAUUUGGAAAAAAAAAAAAAAAAUACAUAUGUUAAAGAUUCAUCCUAAUAUUAGAAAACGAAAGAGAAAAACCAGAAUUUGAAGACGUCUGAAUAUUAAUCCAUACCUGAAUUCCGGCUACAAAUACUUGGACGAACUGAAACUCAGGAAGCAAGUAGACCCGGACUGUACUGCCAUCACGAACCUGCUCAACAAUAGCUUCCAUGGGCUUGCCCUUGUUUGCAUUUAACAGACUCAUGGCAUCUAAUUUGCUAGGAUCGCCAAUAGCAGAGGGAGGUAGAUUCCUAAUAGAUUCCUCAGCAGCACCUGGAACCUGCAAUUCAGAACACAAUGAUCAUGCUUUCGCUGUCAUUCAUUGCAAAUUUUAAACUACGGAUUAAGAGCACUAAAAUGUGAAUGUGUUAAAAAAUGAAAACCUUGCUCCAGCGACCAAGGCCCUGGGUCUUUGCCUGCUCUUCGAGUUGGAGCAGUUCUGCAAUGAAAGGACUGGCUUCUAUUUUCUGUUGCCCCUGUUUCGGUUGGUUAGGUUGCUCCCGGACCUGCACAAGAUUCAGUAUAUACUCAGAUAAAAGGCAAACAUUACAUAAAAACUUAGCAGCAUCUAACUUAAAAGAAAAUUAAAAAGAUCAACACACCUUUGCCCAGCCUUGAGAAACAACAAGCAUGGCAACAUUUUUGUCACCAAGGAAAACAGAGCCAAAAUCACGCCCUAUGGAUGAUACCGUAUAGUCCACCUUGAAAGUCACCUCCUGUUGGAAACAAUACAGAGAGUUGGAUGCAUUAGGUUAUCACAGUCGAAUGGAUAUGAAUCAUAGUACAGGAGGCAACAAGUGGAUGAUAAAAAAUAGGUACCUUUCCUAUGCAGAGCUUCCUCAGGUACUCUCUGCUCUCCCAUGCAAAUGGCUCAUCAAUGCCGCCUCUACGGGCCUAGCAAUAACACACAACAAAACACACAAAUCUCAGCAACCAAAACCACAAGCGAUCAAUGCAGAAACAAUUAAGCAAUUCAAAUCCACAGUUGCACAUAAUCAUAAUAAUUCACAAAAACCGAGCCAUCACGAGAAAACAUAAACAUAAAACCGAAAUUGCAAGAGAAAGACAUGAAUUGUUACCAGCUUGGGAGCCAUAAGCGAUGAGAGCGUGAUGGUUUUUUCAGGUGGUGGUCCGGGCUUGCUAGAGGUAAGAGCCAUGAUGACAAGGCAAUCGCCGGACGUAACGGCCUUCACCCUCCCUCUCAACCACCCCGUGGACCCAGCUGUUGACGAUGCCAUCUCAACAGCUUCUUAUAUUAUUGAUAGAGAUCUACACCACACCAAACCAAAACACAAUCCAAUCAUAAAUCAAAAACAACAUCACUAUCUCCACCACAACAUGCAGAGCCACACCUAUCAAAUCAUCAACAUCACAGAUCCAAUUGCAUGCAAAUCAAUACGACAAUGACAUGCUCAAUACGACACUACUCUGAAUCACUAUCUCUAUCGAAUUACAAUCCAAUCCAUAACAGCUCGCCGGAGCGAGGAGUUUUCCGGUCAAAGACCUCGCAAUUGCGUAACAAAAAACAACGAAAUUCCGAUGAGUGAUCGGAGAAGACAGACAGAUACAUAUAGAGAGAGAAGAGAUAGAGAGAGAUCUGAAAAUGUGAGAGAGAAGGAAUACCAAGCAGGAUCGGAUCCGGUGGGCCUGGCUGUCAGUUCCUGGUUCGGAUCUAAUCCAGGCGGAUUUUGGAUCCUCAGUUCGUGCAAAUGCGUCGUCGGAGCGGCGGAUCACAGCGGCGAGAGAGCGAGAGAAUGAGAGAGAUAAACACAGAGAGACUUCGUUAUGGCUUCGGAGUUUCACAUUAUAUAGUAGACGAUGACGAGCUGAAGCCAGCCAGGGCCUUAUUUUUAUACCUCCGUUUUCGCUACUAAUUACCCAAAAUACCAUUGUGAUGUGAAAAUGCCCACACGAAAUUGCUUUCCUUUUCUGGAAUUUCAUCAUUUAUUACGCUGUGAUUUAAUGCGAAUUACCCAAACAGCCCGUCGGCAACUAAAUACUAAUCCUGCAUUCUAAUCCCUAAAUAUAUUCUGACAAGGAUUGAGACAAAUUAACCGGCCUGUUUUAUGAUGUCAUAUUUUUGCUAAAUGCUAAACCUUGAUUUCCUCCCCUCCACGGCUCAUCGAUGAAUAAAGACGUCAUCAAACUGCCCAACAAACACUAUUAAGUUGGUCUUCUGCCCAUAUAAAUGCUCAACAGGUAAAAAAAAAAAAAAAACAUAUUAUGAGAAAGUAAAAAUAAAGAUUGUAGUAGACGGAAAAGGGGAAAAAAAUGAUCACCGCGUAAUAAAAUGGAGUAAAAAGUGAAUUGUAUAUAUGAUCUUGCAUAUGCAUGAUUGGGCAUUACUGCAUACCUUAUUUAUGAAUAUAGAUACGUAAGUGGUCUAAAUUGGCAUAAAAACUGCAUUAUAGAAUCAUAUCUAUGAACAAAUUAUGAGUACCCAAGUCAAACGUGCAGUAAAAAUGCUUGAUCAAAGUUAUAUAAUUGAACACACGUGAUUUGUGUCAACAAAACAAAAUUUAUUAAUAAUUGAAGAUAAAUGUAACGAUCGAAUGAAGUUACAACAAAACGUAGGUGGUUUAUAACGCCUAAAACAACAAAUUUGUGCAUGUUAUUUACUCGAUGACUAAACUAUACAAUCUUUCACUUGUAUGAUUUAACAAUAGCCGACAAAAAGUUUCGCAUUGAUUAACAACAAAAACUGUAAUGAUCAUUCGGUCUGAAAAGACGAACCGAGAUUAAAUACAAGACACGUGUAGUAAAUUGAUAUAAGAGGUGAACUACAUGAUCUUGGACAUUAAGCAUUGAUUGAUGAAACAAUCAUCGUUAACUAGAAUAAAGAUAAGUGUAACGGUUGAAUGAUCUUAGUAACCACAUAAAUCAAAUCGACAAAACCAGUACGCGUUACUCAAAAAGUAACGAAAAAGUAUGCGUCAGAUUUGAUUUAGUAUUUGACUAAAAAGUAUCAUAUUGACUUACAACGAUAUCUCUAAGGAUUAAAACUAUCUAUCUAAAAAGACAAAUUGAGAUAACAUACAAAACACAUGAGAGAAAUUAGCGUAAGGAGCGCUCUUGUGUAUACAUGAUUUAGCAUUGAUAGAAGGAACGAUCACUAUGAAUGAAAUAAAGACAAUUGCAACGGUCAGUCAAGUAGCCUAAGUCAAACAAGUUGAUCAAAUUAGCUAAAACACAAAAACUUUCACAUUGACAUAAGAGAUUGAAUCAUGCCAUAGAGUGGACGUACUUUAAAAUUUAGAAUCAAUUAUGAAAAUACAAUAUUAAGUAAUUACAAUCUGCAUAUGCAUAAGGAUUUAAUUGUCCACACCAAACAGUAUAACAUUUUGACAUUCAACCCCUAUUGAUAUUAUGAUUGACGUAAUAACUAUCAUUUUAUAAUUUAUACCAAAGACCAAAUGAGAGAAAAAAGUAAGAAUGAUAAUUUUUUUGUUGGGUCCAAAAUUAAAUGUGUCCGUUGUUUUAACCGAAUUUCAGAAUCCAUAAAUACUGACACAAAAUAAAUUUUCUAACGACAUGAGAUUAAUGAAGAUUUUCUUAUGUGCUUUAUUCUUUUUCAAGUAAUCACGCUUUUAGACAACAGUGACAUUUCACAUAUCUAUGCAGGAUGUGGCAGGAGCUCUUUUUUACCAUUUCGGGUAAAAAAAUCUGACCACGAGUAAAAGACAAAACUCAGAGUCUGAGUGAGGAAGAAGAAACCCGUGACAGUGCAACUGGUACUCUUCCAAAAACUGAACCGACUUGCUUUGCGUAACCGAAACAAGAACAGAGAAACGGCAAAGUACGCGUUACACUCACUUUCUUGUUGCUGUUCUUCUCUUUGCAGACAACCAUGAAUCUAUGAUUUUUUUAAUUUCUGGGUGAUUUGUUUUUUUUUGUUUUCGUUUGAUUUUCGGGGUUGUUUGGAGUAAUUUUUGGGAGGAGGAACCCUAAUGAACCAAUGUUUGGAAUCAACACUCUUGCUGCUACACAUUGAAGUGAUUAAACGAAGAUUCUGUGUUUUAAACUUAACAUGGCUUUGAUAUUAACUAUUCCUAGAAAAAUAAUAACCAAAACACCAACACAUUCGAUUAAAAUAAGAAGCUACAUGUCUUAAGCAACACAAUAAUUUCGUCACAUAAAGGAUUAGGCAAACAACACACACUUUACAGCAUGGAACCUCUUCUAUAUAAUAAGAGUUGUAAAGUACAAAAUUAGCUUUAGCAUCGAACAUUUCCCAACAAGUGCAAGCGGCAGUUACAUUGCUUUUGAAGAUGCACUAGCGUGCGAGCUAGUGCUUAACAAACUCUCGGUCGCUUUUGGCUCAAGUCAUUUGGUCCGAGAUCAUCAAUGGGAGGUCUUUGCUUGUGGUGAUCAGUCGCCGACUGGUAUGCCAUUGCCAAUGCCAGGGCCUGCACAAGGAGUUUUACUUUUUAGUUCUUACUAGUUGGACUUGUUAUUGCUAAGAAUGUAAUGUAAAACAAAGUAGACUCACAAUGUGAUCAUGGUGAGGGGGAGCAUAAAUUCCGGUGGUGAUUGUGGCUCUUCGACGACAGUCGUUGCAAGGCGGAUCAGACACCUUGGGGAAUCCAGAUGGAACAACGAUUACGGGCAUCCCUACCAGGUUUCCCAUACAAACUCUCUCCCAAUCAGUGGCAUUGCCAAUGAAUGCGUCAACAGUGAAGCCCUCUCUUACUUCUCGAAUUAACUUCCCCCUUGCUCUCUGAGCCUGUAGAUUAUGAAACGAGUAAUUAAAUCUGUUAUGAACGAUGAUCUUGAAUGUUGACGAGCCUAACAGACAAAAUUAUGAGCAAGUACACUGGACGGCUAACUUGGCAAAAAAGUUGGCUAAUAAAAGUUGACUAUAAGGUUGUUUGGACCACUGUUUUCAAUAAAAGAUCUCAACUUUGGUAUCUUCAUUGAGUUCAUUCUGGCUAAACAACUAACCUGACCAGACCACUAGAAUGCCACUAUAAAGGUCAAAAGAGCUCAUCCACAGGAUACACCAGAACGAGGUUUGUCAUGACAUGUAGAUAAGCAACAAACCUGGACAUAGUCCACUGCUGGAAAAAUGCGUGCACGACGCAGCUCAGGAGGCCAUUGAUCUUGUGACUCAAAAUCAUCAUCCUUCCCUGACCGCUGCCACUCAUCAAAGUGAGCCAAUGUAUCCACAUCCAUAGUAAAGCUGGCAAUACCAACUGAAUCAACCUCAUAUUUCAGUUUAAAAGGGACCAUAUUAACACCUUUCGUUGCUAGAACAUGAACAACCUGGCAUAAGCAUAGAGAGGAGGUUCAACAAGAUUAUUCCAAAGCUCAAUAAUGCCAAAACGUCUAUUGAUCAUCUUGCCUCAGCCAUAAAUUAAAACAAUAAAAAUGUCAACAGACCCCAUACCUCCUGCUCAGCGUCGUCGACAUAUCCAACAGUAAGCUUUGUUAUGUCAACCAGGAAAGGAUCCUCAAACGCAAUGUCUCUUGAUGAAAGAUCAUCUGGAUCCUUUCCUCUAAUAGCAUCCAGAAUUAUAGCACAAUCUGCGGCAGUUCUGGAGACAGGACCAAGCUUAUCCUACAUCAAACACAUACAAAGAAGAUCAGAACAUAAGAUUAAGAUCACACAUAUCAUUGGUACUGCAGAAGAACAAGAAGAUCAAAACUGUACCAAGCUUUCUGAUAGGCUCAUAACACCGGUUCGACCCACACACCCAAAUGUUGGACGCAAUGCUGUCACCCCACAACGUGCAGCAGGUAGAGUCAUGGAACCAACCGUUUCUGAUCCAAUCGAAAAUGGUACCAUACCUGUAAAAAACUCUUCUUAAGCAGCAACUACUACUAAAAGACUUCUCCUAUAUACACAUACAUCUAUAAAGCUCAUAUAGAUACCAGAUAAGCACUUGAAUAAGCUAGCAAAAGAUUAGUUAUCGAUCGAAACAAAAAAGUUCAAGAGAAACAGAAGUAAAUGACAAUGCUGAUCAGCUUGUAUUUGGAAAACACCUGCUGAGGUGCAAGCAGCAGGUCCAGAUGAUGAACCAGUAGUGAAUUCCUUGAUAUUCCAUGGGUUCCUUGUCCUACCCCCAAACCAGAUGUCAUCAUAAGCUAAUGAUCCAGAAGCAAGCUUCGCAACAAGAACUGCUCCUGCAGACUUCAGCCUACGUGUACACAUAUGAAUGAUAAAACAUUCUUAGAUACUAGAAAAUAAAGUUUCCACUUGACCAAAAUAUGUAGCUGUUAUUAAUUUUUGAGAGAUUUAGGACCUCUUGUAAACCCAGGCCUCCAUGUCAAGAACUUGAUCCUUGUAAGUUUUUGAACCCCAUGUUGUUUUGUAGUGGGGAACUGAUAUUAUAUCCUUUAGUCCAUAAGGAAUCCCAUGGAGAGGACCUAAAAACAAAUGUGUAUAAUUAAGGCGAAGGUAAGCAAAUCAGCAUAGAUUACUAUAACAAUUUCAAGGGCAAUAAAGUGUGACGGUUUAUCCGGUUAUAAUCAGAAAAGAAAUGUACCCAAAUACACCCCUUGGGCGAGCAAUCCAUCAGCCUCUUUUGCUUGCUGGUUAGCUAACUCUUCAGUGUAGGUAACCACUGCGUCAAGAACAGGAUUGUGCCUAUGUUUCCACAAUGUAUCAAGUCUCACAUACAUGAUCACACAUAAGAAACUCGUGUUUGUUACAACUCACACUUACCUCUUCAAUCUUUGCAUGAAUAUUUGAGUAAGCUCCUGGGAUGUAAUUUGUUUUGUCCUUAUAAGCUCGCCCAAUUCCAGAACCUGAAACUCACUCAAAAAGUAUAUAUCAACCAAUGUUGCGUGAAUAGGCUCGCAAUUAAUUGUGACACAAAGAGCAUGAGAGCCUUUAACUUACACUCAUAAAGGCAAUGUCAUCAUCACCAUGUGGUCUUUGAAUCCCAGAGAGAGAAGAACAUUUGAACCUUUUGCUUGGGUUUUGUGCUUUGUCAAUGCCCCAAUCCGGAACAAAGACCAAACAAGACGGGUCAUUCAACCCUCCAUUAACAGAAGCAACAAGCUUUCGGUUGGCUCUGAUUGUAGGGAUAUUGAACUUUUUUGCACCCUUCACAAGCUCUAGCAACUAAAGUUGAUAAAAACAGAACACAAUUAUGAAAAAUCUCAACAUUUGUCAGCAGAACGAAAACUAAAAGCUUAUGAUCAAAUCACCUUCUCAUCACUAAAGAAGUUGGCAUCUAUUAACCCAAGCACCCUUUUGAGGGACGCAACAUCUGUGAUAUUUUCAGGUGACUCACCGUUUUUCUCACUGUCCUGAUCAACGAAACAGAAUAAGAAACUUGCAAUGAAUCUCAAAUGGGAUUAGUACUUGAAUGUCUUUGCCAUUUUGACUGAUACUUUUACCUGAACAUAUGCUUAGGCAAAUGAGCUUUAACUUUCUGGGAGACCAUUUUCCAUACAUUUUUAAAAGUUCUCACCUGUUUUGCAUAUGUUCAUUAGGCUACAAUCUAUGAUGUUACAUUUUCAAUGACGCUGAAAAUAAGCUACAACAUUCUACAAUCUUCACAAGUUUGGCCUAAACUUCAGCAAUCAGUUUCUACUCAAAAGUAAUUGUCCGAGAUUAAGAAAGCAUUCUUACUUGACGAGGUGACAGAAAAACUGGAACUUGCUGAUACACUAAAUAGAAAGAUAGAGAGCGAGUUAGACAAUUACCAUAUUUAGAAAAGCUUUGGCCAGAGCGAAAGGUUGGUGACGCAGUCGAACAGGGAAGAAGUGGAGUUUACUGGAAUUCAUAGGAAGAAGGGUUUGGAGUACUGGUUGUAGGUUGUAACUGCUUCAGGAUUAAGGAAAUUAACUGCCCCAAUUGACACAUGUCACACCUCUAGUUUAUAAGGAUGGGACACCUGGUAGUUCUGCAUGACUUCUAAACUGCCUUUUUCUUUUAUUUUCUGUCCUUAAUUACACUGAUUAGCUAAACCUUAAGCAAUAAUGGAUGCCCAAUUGCCCGAUUGAUUAUGAUACUAAUCAUUUUUGUUUUGACAAACUAUGAGACCUAAUCACAAAUCAUUACACAGUGGUGUUCAUACAUUUUGGUGUUACAUUGUUCCAUACAUAAUAGUUGUUUUGCUGCUGCUUUGUUGUCCUAACGUGCUUGAAGUUUAAAUAUCUAAUGACAUAACAUGUCAAGCUAGAGGUUGGAUCAUCUUGGUAACUGAAGGUGGAUUUGGGAUUACGUCAUCUGGUCCAAGAUCAUCGAUAGGAGGACGCUGCUUAUGGUGAUCGGUGACUGAUUGGAAAGCCAUAGCUAAUGCUAGAGCCUGCACAAGAAAACCGUUGUAAUAAUACAUUAACAUUUCUUGACAUAGUCCCUUGUAACAAGUAUCAAGUUAACUGGGUUGAGCUUACAAUGUGGUCUUUCUCAGGAGGGGCAUAAAUGCCUGUGGUGAUAGUAGUCCUUCUCCUACUGUUGCUAGGAUGUGGCUGUGAUAUGUUCUUAAAACCUGUGGGGACAACGAUCACAGGGAUGCCGACAAGGUUUCCAAGGCAAACUCUCUCCCAAUCAGUCGCAUUUCCGAUGAAUGCAUCAACAGUAAAACUCUCCCUCACUUCCCGGAUUAACUUUCCCCUUGCUCUUUGUGCCUGCACAUUAAGUUUAGAGCCAUGUAACUUAUGCUGCACAUCUGACAUGUUAUGUUCGUGCGUGACACUAGAAAUGUGAUUACCUGCACAUAGUCUACUGCUGGAAUUACGCGUGCACGACGCAGUUCAGUAGGCCACUGUUCUUGAGCUUCAUAAACCUCAUCCUGCCCCGAGCGCUGCCACUCGUCAAAGUGAGCCAACAUAUCCACAUCCAUGGUAAAGUUCAGAAUACCUUGAACAGAUUCAACUGUGUAAUUUAGUUUGAAAGGGAUCAUUUUUACACCUUUCGCGGCUAGAACAUGAACUACCUGUGAGAAAAGCAAGUCUGUCUUAAGCUCCACAUAUGAAAUAGGAUCCUAAAUAAGUGUUAAGGUCUUCAGAUGUUAAUGCCUAACUAACCUCCAUCUCGGCGUCUUCUAGAUAUCCGACAGUAAGUUUUGUGAUAUCAACUGAAAAUGGAUCAUCAAAGGGAAUGUCUCUUGAUGAUAGAUCAUCCGGGUCCUUCCCUCUAAUAGCAUCCAGAAUAAUUGCACAAUCUAUGGCACUUCUACAGAAAGGACCAAGCUUAUCCUGUUAUAGCAGUAAAGCUAUAAAUUCUAACAUGUACUGCAUCACAAAAUAGGGGCAUGAAAAAUGAAGACUGAAGGAGUACCAAGCUUUCUGAUAUGCUCAUUACACCUGUUCGGCCAGUGGUGCCAAAUGUUGGCCGCAAUGCAGUCACUCCACAGCGCGCAGCAGGAUACGUCACAGAGCCAGCUGUUUCUGAUCCAAUUGCAAAUGGCACCAUACCUGUGAAAGAUGUCUUGUUUAGAAUGAGGUGGAUUUUGAAGAGCAACAUAGGACAAUUGUUUCAACUUUUGAGUCAAGAUAAGACCCCAAAAAGGAAAAAACCAAGUUUGAUGGAUUAAACCAAGAUAAGACUACUAGUCUACUACAAACCUGCUGAGGUGCAGGCAGCAGGUCCAGCUGAUGAACCGGUAGAGAACUCUUCAAUAUUCCAUGGAUUCCUUGUUCUACCGCCGAACCAGAUGUCAUCGUAUGCCAGGGAUCCUGAAACAAGCUUUGCAACAAGGACUGCCCCAGCAGACUUCAAUCUGUUUAUAGCAAGAUCAACCAUCAAGAAAUAUGUAAAAAUGAAUCUAGCUAGAGGUAAAAAAACGUUUCGCCAUGCAAACUGAGCUUGUCACUAGUCAAAACAAACUAUAUGAAAAUCUCUGAGGGUUAAGCAGAUCCCAAUAAGCCAAAGAUUAAUUAGAGUAAAAAAUCAAAAAAUUGUUUAGAACCUUUUGUAAACCCAAGCUUCAAUAUUGAGAACUUGAUUUUUGAAGCUUUUGGAACCCCAAGUUGUUCUGUAGUGGGGUACUGCAAUUAUAUCCUUCAAACCAUAAGGAAUCCCAUGUAGAGGACCUAAAAACAAAGUCAAUACGUAAAUGUUAACAAUUUAUUUACUAUAGCUGAGGAGUUGAAAGACACAUCAAUAAAAAAAGAGAUGUACCCAGAUACACUCCUCUUGCAAGCAUAUUAUCAGCCUCUUUUGCUUGCUUGUAUGCUAAUUCUUCAGUAUAAGUCACAACUGCCUCAAGAGCAUGAUUAUACCUGCUAUUUCAACAAGGCAUCAGGUUCAUAUUAGCAUGAUAGGUCCUGGAUAUUAACGAAAAUAGAAAACCAAGGAACUAUUUGCACCAUUACCUUUUAAGUCUUUUCAGGAAAAUUUCUGUAAGCUCCAGAGAUGUGAUUUGCUUUGUCUUGAUCAGUUCUCCCAAUUCAAGAAUCUGAUGAACACCCAACAAAGAUUUAUGUUUUAAAGUCUCAAUGAGACUCGCGACAAUCAAAAUUCUAUAAUUAUCACCUUGUUAAUCACAUCUCUUAGACCUAAUGAGGAUAUAAAUUUAUAUGGUCUAGACAUGAGUUAGUCAUACAAAUGUAAAAGAACACAUAGAUUAGAUAAGAGUGAAGCAACUAACUUACACUCAGGUAGGCAAUAUCUUCUUCACUUGUCGGUUUGUGUAUGCCGGAAAGAGAUGGAUAAGAGAAUCUUCUUGUCACAUUUUGUGCUUGUUCUUUCCCCCACCCAGAAUUAAACACCAAAGAAGAGGGGUCACUCAACCCUCCAUUCACUGAAGCAACCAACUCUCUGUUAGCUCUAAUGAUAGGGGUGUUGAACUCCUUCUCACCCUUUACAAUUUCCAGCAUCUAAAGCACACAAUAAGUUAGUCUGAUGAAACUUAACUAUUCAAUGGUGAAUCUGAAGCAUAGUGUUGUAUUUAAAGUCACCUCUGUAUCAUUGAAGAAGGUGGAGUCAAACAACUCAAAUGCACAAUUAAGAGGCGAGAGUUGAUGAACUCUAGUCCAGCACUGAUCAAAUAUCACAAACAAAACCACAUCAACACCAAGAAACUCUUAACAAACAUAGAUUUAUGGGUUUGGAAAGAGAAACAAUUUACCAAAAUUUUAGCUUCAGAAGUAAAAACUGGGCAGCUGAACACUGCUAUGAUUGUGAAAUAGGUGAAACCAGUCAUGGUGAUCCACAUUAGUUAUGAAGAAAGAGGAAGACGAUUGUGUUUAAGCAUGGGUAGUAGUUCUGGAACGGUAAGAUCUCUCUCUUUUUUGAAAUUGAAACAGCAUCUUUCUCUUGUUCUGCUGCCCAUUUGCAGAGCUUAGAGUCAAACUAGCUUUGUCUUGGAGUCGUUGUUGACCGGUAUGCCACGUAGGACAUGGUCAAACAAUGACUAGAGCCAGAGACCUUGUCCUUAAAAAAGUAAUUCUUUUCGCGGUAAUAUUCUCCCUGAAACGUAAUUCUUUUUGCGGUAAUAUUCUCACUGCUUUACGUGAUGGGGCCACGUGACGUGGCCGCAAAUGCGUAGUUUACUGGGAUUCAAACAAAUAUAAGACAGCCUCUGCCUCCUCCGCUCGUAGCUUCUCUGCGCGCGAAGAUAGGGUUUUGCUUUUUGAUCUCCAAAAUUUCCAGGUACGUCGUCCCUGGCUUUCAUUCUCGAUUCACCGCUUUUCCGUUUCGCAAGUUUGGUUUUCGCUUUGCGUGCCAUGAAUGAAUAGGAGAUCUGAUAACAUUGGGGGCGAUUCAUACGAGGCUACGCAAUUGUACUGUUAGAAAUAUGACGGAUUUUCUAAUAUAUGCGAUUAGACUAUGCAGCUGUAGCGUAAUGUAGUUCGAAUCUUCCUUUCGUUUGUCUUUUUUCUUUGGAUAAAAAGUGUGCCUUUUGCUUUGCCCAUUAUUAGAUCCAAUGUCCCAGUUUCUGUUUUGAUUUUAAUAUGGAAUCUUUUUGGUAAAUUUUGGGGAUUCGAUGUGAUUCCUGUUUUACUGUUUGCGAUGGCAUCUUAGGCUCAAGCUAGUAGAGAUUUGCACAAUCAGCCUUUCGAAUUUCAAAAACAAACUUAGAAUGAUUUAUUAAUAGAAGUAAAAGUUUCUAAUUUGCUGGUAAUGACUUUAGUUUACAUUAUUCGAAGUGUUUACAAUGAGAAACUUAAACAAUAACUUGUUCGUAGUCUUUCCUAGUUGUCUAUGAAAGCUCUAGCUUUUGUAUCUGCGUAGUUUUGCAUCCGGAUUGACCCCGUGUACAUCAGGUAUCAUAUAGGAAUCUACUUUUAUCUAGCAAAUUUUGAUGUGAAACUUUACGAGGAACCAAGGAAGUGCGCUAUUUAUCUUUGAGUUGAAUGUGCUAGGUAGGGGAGUGUUAAUGUGUCUGGAAACCUCUGUAUAUAUGGUUAAUGUGUUGUGGUCCUUUAAACUGGUUAAGAGCUAAAGCUACUAAUUUAGUUUGUUUUGAUGAGUCCAUUGGUGUCGACUGCUGUUUGGAAAAGAUUCUGAGCACCUUUGUCAUCUCACUUCUUGAAAACAGGAUGGCUAAUGUUUAGUUCACUCUAAUUGUUUGUACAUUCCCAAUGAAACAUAAAGUCUUGGAUUUUUAAGGGAACUAUAUUAAUUCUUUAUGGUGAACUUUUCAAAAUAUUCAGAUCUUAGAUUGUGUGCUACCUGCAAGAAAAACACAGGGAACUAUCUAUUGUCUAGCUAAAUCUGAUCAUUCACUUUGUGUAUUCCAGACAAUGUUUAAGGUUCCAGACCAUCAAGUUGCUGGCCACAAGGCCGGUGCUGGAGUUCUUGGCCCUCUUGUUGAUGAUGCAGGGAACUUUUACAAGCCUCUUCAAAGUGGUGACCGUGGAGCCAAAGAAGUGGCAUUCUAUACCGAAUUUUCAACUGAAACUAGGAUUCCAGACGAAAUUCGCAAGCUCUUCCCUGCCUUUCAUGGUACCCGGGAAUUGGAGGCAUCUGAUGGUUCCGGCAUGCAUCCUCACCUUGUCUUGGAAGAUAUUGUCUCAAGCCGAACCAAUCCAUCUAUAUUAGACGUUAAAAUGGGUUCGAGCACAUGGUACCCUGAAGCUUCUGAACAGUAUAUUGCCAAGUGCCUUAAGAAAGAUAGAGAUGGCACGAGCCUGACAUUGGGAUUUAGAAUAUGUGGACUUCAGUUCUAUGGAAACAAAGAAACUGGAUAUUGGAAGCCGGAUAAGAAGCUAGUUAAUGCUUUUACUCAUGAUGACGUUCGGUCAACUUUUAGGAAGUUUGUUUCUUCUAACUCGCCUUUAGCUUCAGAUGCUGAACCAGAUUGUGCUUAUGCAUCAACUGUCUAUGGUGGACCUGAUGGGAUCUUGUCACAAUUGUUGAAACUGAAGUCAUGGUUUGAGGAUCAGACCAUUUACCAUUUCUAUUCUUGCUCAAUUAUGAUGGUGUAUGAUAAGGAGUCAAUACUGAAAGGGGAGAAUCCAAACCCUCAAAUCAAACUUGUUGAUUUUGCACAUGUCGUCGAAGGCAAGGGUAUUAUUGACCAUAAUUUUCUGGGGGGCCUCUGUUCCUUGAUAAAGUUCGUGAAUGAUGUCUUGAACAAUCCUAACAAGUAAAUAACCGAACCAGAAGUCAUCUACAGCUGUGGGAGAAGAUCUCAUAGCAGCCAAGUUGAAAUUGAAUGGACCAGGAGUAGCCUUAAAAAGUUAAGGCGGGUUUUAGUAUUUAACAUCCUGCAUGUUCAAUUUGUUUUCCCCUUAUAACUCAUUUCAUUACUACUAAAAUAAGAGACUGCCUGAUGUUUGCAAUUUGCUUAUGUUUCUGAACCUGUUGGGAGAACAACAACAAUUAAAACUAUAUGCUAGAUGACUAUUGAAAAUACUUCCUUCAAUUGCCUCCAUACAGCACUGUUACUAUGAUCGUAGACAAGGAUUACCUCAUAUUCUAGAAUUCAGAUGUCCCUUUCCUUAAACACUUUUAUCAGUGUCGAUAGCGAUAUUGCUUCUCUGAAUUGUAAUAAGAGUAAAGCAAAAGUCUUAGGCAUGGUAUUGCUGUAUUGGCUGCAAUAGUCAUAGUCUGCAGCUAUUUUCUUUCCUGUAAUGGCAAGAAUGGUGGUCUAGGGUCCAUAUGGAGACCCGAGAGCUGAAAAGCAAAAUUCUAAUACCGGGUUUCAAUCCCAUUUAGACUAAUCAAAGCUAAUAUGGCUUCUAAGCAAUGCACUUGUUAUACUAUAAUCUAUCCAUUUCAGACCCAUGCAGUAGGCCAGUAGUGAAUUCCAAGCUUAAGAAAUUACUUCCAUUUCUUCCAACCUCAUAGACAUUACCUAUAUAUACAUGUUAAAACAUAAUCUCUUGAUUACUACUCAACAAACACAACAGCCCCCAAGAUGCAUAUUCCAUCUUUUGCUUGCUGCAUUGUCUUUCUAUCUGUGAUCUUCUGUUUCUGCACUAAAAUCUCCUUAUCGGAUUCCGAUAAUCUCCAGGACACAUGUCCUACCUCCCUAGGAAAACAAACCUUCUUCAUCAAUGGCUUCCCUUGCAAGAACCCAAACAACAUCAGCGCCCCAGAUUUCAAGACUUCCAAACUGACCCAACCGGGCGACAUAGACAACUUCUUUGGCUCUGCAGUUACCCUUGUCACUGCCGCAGAGUUUCCAGGCCUAAACACACUUGGCCUCUCAGUUGCAAGAACUGACUUGAGAGUUGAUGGUCUGGUGAGGCUUCACUCCCACCCAAGAGCUUCGGAAAUGUUCUUUGUCAGCAAAGGCAUUGUGCUAGUGGGGUUCAUCGACACACUAAACCAGCCAUUCCAGACGAUUCUCAAGGAAGGAGAUGUGUUCGUGUUCCCCAGGGGUCUGCUUCACUUUUGUCUGAAUGCUGGUUAUGACAUUGCCACUGGUUUAUCAGUGUUCAAUAGCCAGAAUCCAGGGGUGGUGAGCAUUUCUGAUGCCAUGUUCGAGCCUAAGCCGGAUGUGAUAAAGAAGCUUACAGAGGGCUUUGUCACUAGUCACCUUAGAAAUGCCACUUUAAGUGGAUUUUCAAGUUUUUGACAUGCAGUAAUUCAUAAUUGUUUGAUGAAAGCUAAUUUAUGGUUGCAUAAUGUCUUACUGUGUCAACUGUCAAUACUCAAUACUUCAAUAGUGUGAUGAGUUUGUGAGCUAAGAGCAAGAGUGGUCAUAUAUUAGCCUCAUGUAGUGUAAAGGCUUGUGGCUUGUAUCAUAGCAGAUUGUAUAUUGCACAACCGUAUGUAUACUAUUGUAAACUAUUACAAAAUGUUUAGUAAACUUUAUGAAAAUAACUAAUGGUGUUUAUUGUUUAAGAUAGCGGGAAGUCAUGACACAAAAGAACAAUAGUAAAGAUGAAGAUCAAUGUUACAAUCCAAACAACUACAUAUGAUAUGUAGUUUAAGUCUUUGGAAGCUUGUCUAUGAUCCGAGAUGUUAAAACUCUUGCCGAUUCUUUUGUCAGCAUCACUUUCUCCAUAUUUUUUGGAGAUUCAUAAUAUUCAUCCAAACUUUUUUGCGGAUGCUCUUGCUUCUGUUGGCCACUCUCUUUCCUUGCCGAUGUGUUGGUUUGAUCCUUCUCAAACUCAAAUGACUAUUUUGUUUGAUUCUUCUUGUAUUAGUCGUUUAUGAGUUCUUUUUUUUGUAAUUUUUUUUUCAAAGAAAAAAUUAUGUAACAUUAUAUGUUAUCAAUCGUGAAAUGAAAUUAGUUUCAUGAUUAUCAUCUCUGCUGUUCAAUUCUGAAGAACUGCAGUCUUCUUCCGAUCAGAAGAAUAAUUUUCUUAAAAAAAAAAAGGCAUGGAGAAAUGAACUUUUGCGGGCUAGGCGGAUUCUAGUUUGACUGGGCCCAGGCAGGUUUGUUGGUCCACUUAAAAAAACCGAGUCCACAACACAGUUUUUUGGGGGCAAAAUUUCCAAUUCUGAACCAUUUAGCGCCAAACCAGUGAGCUCUUCUGAUACUCGAGAGUCAGAGAGAGACCGAGAAGAAGAGGAACAACUUUUCGCCGGUGUUAGCUUUUCCGAUAGCGAUUAAGAAGGAGAAGAAGCUCAAUGGUAGAGCUGUGCUUUGUUCUCGAUCUUCGGAGCUUGCCGCCUCCAUUUCUCAGAGACUUAAAGCUGGUAAUCCAACUCUAACUGUUCAUUUCAAAUCAAUCACACGAUUCGUUCUUCAAUUUAUUCCUAAAUCGAAACAAAAUCACGAUCCGUGCGCGUUUGCCCGCUCAAUUUUUCGUCACAGUCGCUGUUGCAGCUCGCUAAUCUCUACGCGAUCUCGCCGUCGCCGGCUUGGCGCAGAUCGGAGUCGCUCCGGGAUCGGAUAGGCCUGUGCUUCGUGUUCAAGAAUCCGAUGACCUCUUCCGAUCAGGUACUCAAAUCUUGCACAGAACGUGUUUGAUUUAUUGUCUCUGAGAGUCUGAAACUGACAUGUCGUUUUUUGCAGCUGAAGAUUGUGUACACGCCUAGUCCAAGCGGCAGCUUCAGCCUAAGGGACUUCCACCACGCCGUGAAUGCCUUGCCGGAGAAUGCAUUCCAGCCUCAGAUGGACGAUUCCGGUGCUCUCCUUGUCACUGGCCUCUGAUUUAUUUUCGCAUUUUGUUAGCUGCUUUUGUUGAUUUUUUAUAAUUCAUUGCAGAUUUGAAGCUUUCGAGUGUUAUCAAUGAUGAAGUGUUGUACCACUGGGGAGGUAGAGAUAUCAUGAGGAAAGUGAUUGUGAUCACCUCCUGCUUGCCUCGAGAUGUGGACUUUAGCAUGCAAAAGACUCUCACUGUGAGCCUUUCGUUACCGUUUUCCAUGUUUUGUGUCACCUGUUUGCUUAUGUUGCUUAGUGUUCAGGGACUUAUGUUGGCUUCUCUUGCAUGCAGGCUGCCGCGGAUAAGUGUGUUUCUGUUGAGUUUCUGUUGUUUGAGCAAAAAUCAGCCCAUCUCAGCAAUGCAAAAGAGAAUAUCAAGAGUUUCAUAACUUGCAUCUCUGAGCUUGAUAAUUGUUCAUUCCAAACAUGUCUCCCAGGUGAACGACUACCUUCCUCUCUGUGUAGGACAGUAGGAAAGUAUGGCACAUCAAAAUAUUUCAUGUAGUAUGUUAGCUUAAACAGAUAGCAGUAAUUGCUCAACUCAUUUGCAGUAGUACUUGGGCUGUUUUAUGGUUUCAAUGGUUAGAGUUUCUUACUCCAAUGCAAAAUUGAGCUUGUUACUGAACUUGAGUCAGUAAAUUUGCAGAUCCCAGAGUAUUGCAUGGCCUGGUAAACCGAUGGUUACGGGAUUUAAAGGAUGACAUUGAGGAACCGAUGCAAGCUCGUUUUAACUUCAAGCAGAAUCUUGUGGGCUCUGUGAACCAGAUAUCUUGCAACUUGUACGUAUCUGUCAACCAGAUUGUUGAUGGUUUCUAUCCCUGUGAGGUACAUUAUAUGUAAUGCUAAUUGUCCACUUCAUUGCUUUUUACUUAUGAAUCAUUAAUGUUGCCUAAACUAUAGAUACCAAUACCAUAGUCACUUUGUGGACCAUGGAACUUAUGGUGAUACUUUGUGAGCUAAGUAUGACUUUAUGAAAUCUUAUACUGUGGUAUUUGGCAUUGAAUUGUAGAAGUUUUAGAGAUAUUACAAAAUCAGCCCUUAACUCAAGGCACUUUAAUGUCCAAUAACCUUAUCACAAGCACUUUAAUGUCCCAUAUUAUAAGUGUCCAGACCAAAACCUAACUGAAAUAUCCAAUGUGAUUGAUUCAGAGAAAUGCUUCCAAUAUAUAUAUAUUAGGUUGAUAAUGUGACAAUUGUUGCUUCAAGAACAUUAUGUGGUAAUAUUGAACCAUAAUCUUGGUUCAAUUAGCUCUGUAUUUUGCUUUCACACCUCAAGUCUAUGAAGAAGAUUUUGAUUGUAGGGUUACUGCUUAUAGACAUGCAGAUGUCAUGCCAUUUCUCUGGAAGAUGCUGUUUUAGUAAAAAUGGAGGAACCUUGUUGUCCAGUCACAGGGCGUAAUAUCGAAAGAUCUGAUGUCAUAGGAAAUUCUGUGAAAGUUGGAGAAAGAACAAUCCUGUUGCUUCCCUCAUUCAAGAGCCCUGUUAAGCUCAAGCGUGCUUCUUCACCAAUUGAUUUCAGUGUCAUUGAGAGGACUAACUUGGGUGCCCUAAGUGAAGGUAAAUGAUAAUAACUAGCCUUGUGAUUAAGUAGUACAUAUAUAUUUUGGACAAUACGGAUCAAUAAGAUGAAUAUGCAUUAGAGGAUUAGAAUCAUGGCAUUACAGCACUUCCUUUUCAAAAUUAUUGACAACACAGAACUUUUGUGUUUUAUGUCAACAUUGACAGUUACCUACCCCUUUUUAUGGCAUUUCCCCACAGGUGUUCUAAUGGGAGCUUCAUAUGUUGUCAUUCCAUCAAGUUUCCAGGAAAUGGAAACUGCUUCAGAUGAGAUCGAUCAGUCAGAUGUGAAUACUGAGAGUAUGUCGGAGGCCUUCCUCUUGUUUUCUGGUUUGGGUUGCAUAUGACUAAGAGUUACUUACACAUUAAUCAAGGACAAUCAGAUUUAGAGAGUUGUGUAUGUCUAAUUAGAGGCCUUACAUGCAGCCUCUAAGUUCCAUUUAGUCCUGAUUGGCUGAUUAAUAUGUCAGCUACCCUAUAAAUUCACUGCUGUUUCAUUUUCUUAAUCAGGCUACUCAUGUUGCAGUUUUCCGAGGGAUUUGCAGUGCUCUACAUUCAAUGGACCAGGGUUUGGUGUGUUCUUCAAAUUGUAAUAUAGAAACUAUGACCGAGGCCACUUUGCAAUGCUAUUAUAUUCUCCAACCUUCAAACAAUGGGCCAAUGCUUCUCAGGGUAAACAUUAACAUUUUCAUACAGUGUAUUAAUUGCUAUUUCAUAUGUUUAACAUCAAAAGUUAUCUUUUCAUGUAUGUGUUGUUCAUUUUUGUACUCUUAUCUUGGUCUCAUUUUAAUUCCACAUGCUUGUGUUGUGUAUCAGCAUGCAUGAUGCCUUGGCUUAUGUUUUUCGCAUUUGUUUCUCAAGUGUGUUGUGUGACUUGUAUGUAUGUUAAUCAUUGUUAUAAUAUUUGCAGCACAUUGCAGGAUCAGAGGAACUUUUGCACAUUCCUAACCUCAAUCAGUUAACUGUUUCCUCAGUGAGGAAGGACUUUGAGGAUUCUGUUAAAGACUGCUUGUCAAGGGUAUGCUCAUCUUCUAUUUGUGUAUAAUGUGAAUAAAAAGUCUGGUGAUAGCUAUUUGACAAGCUUAUCCAGCUACCCUAUUGGAUCUGGACAGAUAGGGCAAAUUGCUUGUAGUUCUUCAUUGUUUAAUAUCUUAAAUUUCUCUGUACAUAGUUUGAUUGUCCGAAUAAUAUACUGUUCCAAAUUCUUAUUAGAGUUGCAUGUGUGACUUUGCUAUCAGAAAACACCAACAAACCAAGUUUUUAUUGUGAAGUGACUUUAAGUAAUAUUAGAUGAGACCUUGUCCAAUGAUGGUCUGACUGGCCUUUCCUUUUCUGACUUUCUUGCAGAUUGACAUAAGAGACUAUAAUCCAAUGCUGCAUGAGAGGGGCUUCCAUCAGAAAUUAAACUUGCUUGUGAAGGAGAGCUUACUCCUUGGGUAAUUAUUCUCUUAAUCCAGAUAAAGGAAGGCUGAGUGAGUAAGUGAAUAGGAACAGAAACAUAGAAACAAACUCAAAAGAAAGUUAAGAUAUUGAGAACCAAUAAGUUAUUUAUGUUGCAGGCUUUCGACCCUGAAAGUCUCCCUCUCUCUUCUUUUUUUCCUUUUCUUUUUCAAAAAAAGAAAAAGAAAAAAGAAAGAAUGCUCACUUGGGUUUUUAUUUUUUUAGACCUGAUUAAUCUAUUUGGAGUAGAGCUUCCAAAACUAUUAGUUGGCUGAAAGAGAUUUUCCUUUUCCAUGCAAUCCGUGUUGAAUAUAGGAUCAUUCGCAAUAUGUAGCACAUAAGCUGGAACCAAAUUUUCCGUAAGGCAACGCUUAUAUUCCUGACAGAAAUUCUUCUUAAAUAGUUCUAGUAGAAAGCAACCAUCAAGUUUCAUCAUUUCUAUCAAGUCAUUUAGACUAAGAUGAUCAAAUAGUUCUGCAAAAAAUGCACAUUUAAGUUUUCUAUAUUUCUUUUAAUCUGCUAUGAUUUAGUUAGUCUAUUGCAGCAUUCAAAUUGACUGUGUUCCUUUGCCAUGAAUGUCCAUGUCUUAUUUGUCUUCGUUGUCAAUUGAAACAUUUCUGUGUUGCCUAAUUAAGUCAUGUAUCUACAUACCUGUAUUUGAACUCAUGGUGAAAGCUUCCUCUAAUGGUUGCUAUCUUAAUGUGAAUAUUUCAGGUCACUAUCCCCAAUCAUGGAAGAGGAAAUAUAUGAAUCGAAGGCAACCCAAACAAAAUUUUCAGAAGUGAUAGGGCAGUCUGAUCCAACAAUAGAUAUUGAAGCCAUCCAAGAGGAACCCUCAAUGUUGGUGGAUCUGACAGAGGAAGAAGACAAAACAUCAACUUGCAUUACAGAAGAGUGGGAGCAGCUGGUUGUGAAUGAUGUCUCCAAGUUACGUUCUCCACUUUGCACUUCCAAACCUAAGCCAGAUCAGUCAGUUCAAUCACCACCAGAUGGUACCCGCCAACUUGAUGCAAAGACAUCAAGGAUUUUAGAGAGACUUGAGGUGCCAAGACAGUUCAGAAGAGAAUCACUUUUGCCAAAUCUAACUAGCAAAGGUGUGAUGAAUUCACAUGGUCAGGUAAAAAAGCCUUUGCUCCCUUACAAGCCUACUUGUGCCCCGGACCAAAGUAUUGUGACUAGUUCCCAACUAAUAAAACCAAACUUCCAGAGGCUAAAAAGGAAAUUCAAAUAAAAAAGAAUUCUUCUCUGAGUGAAGUAAUAUAGUAAAGCUAGUUUCUUCUUAGUUCUCACCAGGAUUAGCUUCAGGGACUCAACUCCAUGUGAGAGUAUAUAAUGUCUAAUGUUUAGCUAUAAGAGAUAUCAGAAUGGUUCCUACUGUUUGGAAGUAAAGAGUGGUUCGAUCAUCAUGUCCUCAUGUCAUGAUCAUUUCCAGAAAUAAUACAUAUCAGCAGUUUUAUUAGGUUCUUUAUUACAUAUAUGUAUAUAUUUUCGUUUAAAUGUUGUCAUACACAAUUCUAUAUGUCAAUAUUACAUAAAACUGAAAAAUAUGCACAUAUUGUGUCUUCACUCAUUCUGCAACAUGCUUUGCACAAGUCUGCCUGUCUUUCUCAGCUUGUAACUACUAUUAUAACAAACACUGUAUAUAGGCUACAUCAGAAUAGGGCAUAAUACACGAGGACCACGAGGCUUUAGUUACUGUCUUAACCACCAUUUCAGCAUUUCCUUUUGCCUGCUUUGCAUAUGUGUUAGUCUAGCUUCCGUUCAUAAAAAGAUAAGAUAAAAAGAUUGACCGAUGCAUAUGCAUAUAUAAUUUACAUAAAGCAGCAGUAGGAAUCUCUUUCUUUCUGUGUGGAAAUAUAUGACAUGAGAAAGUGAAGGUGGGACUCUCAGAGACCUUGUUGUUGGUCUCUUUAGUUCUGGUCCUGCCCUUUGUGUUCAUAUCAGAAAUUUUCUUUAUGGAAUUCAAAUCUGGUGGAGGUUUUGUGGUUGAAAUCCAGAGAUAGCUGUCGUAGUUCUUCAGUUAGAGCAGGUGGCCCGCAGUAGAACACCCCUGCACGACACAAACUCACACACCAUUAGAUUAUCUCUACCUCUAAAUGAAUGAUUAGACCUGGAACAUAUAUUUGUUUAGUGUUAAUCAUCUUUUAUGUGCAGCGUGAGCCAAAGUACCACCCACUACUGGUUAUAAUAUCGAAGCAGUGGCUUUCAUAAUCUUUUCUAAAGAUAAAUGUAUCAUUUUUAAGCAGAACAUGCCAGAGAAUUAGGAAUAUGCUAUCGACUAAUAACUAAAAUCAAAGUAUUUAUAAUAUGUAAUCAUAUGCUUCGAGAUAGACAUAUAGUUUUAAUAGUUGUAUAUAAUAUUAGAAAAGGAAAUCCGACAUUGAUGGUUCACCGUAAAACUAUAUGCUGCAUUAUUCUGUUUUUACUAGACAUGGUCAACUAGUGUGAUGUAGAUUCUAUAUGAACAGUAUUAUUUUGGUUUCGUUAAGUUUCUGAUAGAGAUCUGAUACAGAGAAUGAAAAAUGAACAGUUUUGGUGAUCACUGUAUAGAGUGGAGGAAAAGAGUAGGAAAGGUUUGGUGGUAAAGGGAGGGGGACUCACCAACUUUGUCAUUGGUGUGAUCCAGCGCAAUGCGCUUGUAGACCUCACGCCAGUUAGGCUUAGCAAAAUGUGACUUCACCCGAGUACCCGACACAAUAUCGACCCCAUUCUUGGCAUGAUUUAGUGACUGAAGCAUAGCAAUGAGGGCAGAACGUGCAUCACCUUCCUCAUAAACACUAGUGCAAUAGUUGUGGAACUCUAUCACUCUGUUAUGGUCAAGCUCCGCCACCUCGUUCAUGGCUCCUUUGAACCAGUCGAACGAACCUUGCUCUCGCGUCACCCAGUAGAAGUAGGCUCUCUUGGUCUUGAAGUUGCUGUGGAGGCUCACUGGGCUGCCAGAACCGGCCGUGCCGCUUUCUAGGGCGUUCUGUGAUUCAUCUUCUAUGGCUUUGAUGUUGUUCACUAUGUCCUUGAGGAUGCUUAUCAUUGGGGUUGCUCCUAUUCCCAACCCUACAAGUAACACCACUUCAUAGUUCUUGUAGUCUUGAGCUGGUGCUCCAUAGGGUCCAUCUAUUAGCACUCUUGGAAAGCUGUUCACCAUAAUAAGUCGAUUAUUAGUCAUUAGAUCAAUUAUUGAUUUCACCCCAUCAACAUUGGAGAAAAAGAAAAUCCAUUAUGGACACAAAGCAACUUUCUCAAAAAUUGAAGAAAGAAACAAUUCUAAAGUCAUCUUAUCUUCUGCUUUAGUGAAAAAUGAUAAUCAUUUAUCUGUUGCCCAUCAAAUCCCCUUUGGAUGUUUGUUUAGAGGUCCCUGUCUAAUAUCUAACAAAGCACAAUUAUACGAUCAACAACAAACAAUUGCAUCUACAUUAGCUUCUUUUAGUUAUCAGAACUAUAAGAUUAUGAUUUUCCGACGAAUCACACGUACAUCAUCACAUUAUUGUAGUAACAACUAACAAUUACUUGAAAGAUCACUUUGCUAUGUUUCUAUUUAUGUCUUCAGUCAGAAUAUUCAUAAGUGGGCAUUUUUCCUUUUUCUAUACUUCUCAUAGGUUCAAAUAAAAUUAGUAUGAACUAAGUUCAAGUUUUUAGGUGUCGGAUGAAAAGUAAAGGGUAAAGUUCUUUCACUAAGUUAAACUUACUUUAAGUCGUUGCUUUGCAUACAGUCGGCUCUGAGGAGACCACUGUUCCCAGAAGGAGGUGGUUGGCAUACCUAAAAAAAAAGAAGAAGAAGAAUUAAUAGAAGAAGAUUAGCUAGCUCUAAGUAUCAAGUACUCAAGUUGGUUUUAACUAAACUUGUUUUCUUAAUCAACUAAUUAAGUAAAACAUACUCAUAUAAACGACAAUUGUUCUUCUGUGAUGGAUAAGCUUUCUGUACCAAAACUUCUGCUGUUCCAACCAUAUUGGCUCUACACAACUUGGCUACUAUUGAUAAUGCUAGAUUAUGCUUUUAAGACAACUUUUGUUUAGAGGAGUGGUUGGAGAUUCAUACCUAAUUAUAUUUCCUAGUGCAAGCAAAAUCUUCCUAAACUAAACUAUACUAUAACUUUUGUUUUUGUUAGGCCAAGAGGUAAUGUAGUCACUCCAAGUCGUACCUGAGAAAACACCGUCUUAAGUUGUCGCGUCCAGUCGCCAAGAGUCCGGAUAUGAACACUGAGGUGGUCGUCUCCCGGCGCCGACGUGAUCGAAAAUGGGUGCCUAUUUUGAUAUUAACCAAAUUUAUAAUUAGCAAAAUGAGAAUAUCCAAGCACCAAAAACUGAAACCGGGAUUCUUGACCUAGUUUUAAGAUACUAUACAUGAGAAUAAAUGGUGAUUGCUUAACAUGUUAUAUGUGUUUCAUAGACGUGCUUACCAUUCAAAUGGGGAGACAGCAGCACAAUUAACAAACAUGUAUUGCCCACUAUGGUAUCUGAAGCCCUGAGGCUUUGACAUAAAAAGAGCCAACACAUUUCCAGGAUAUAGAGCCACCUUCAACAUUAUUAAAGAGAUGAAUUGUGAUUAGAUACAUCUCAUUUGAAUUUAAGAGUUAGUACAAAUAUAGGGUAGUAUUGUUUUGUUUACCUUUACUAUCUUAACCGGCUUGAUGCUGGACCGGAGUGCCCGAACCAAUCUUUCACCACCGUAGAGGAGAAGUGGAACAGCCAAGUACAUCCAAGUCUGUCAAUUCGGCACUAACAUGUUUGAGAUACAAAUAAAAAUGGCAAUACUAUUUACCAUUAGUUUAGAAGGAUGAAAGUUCUAACCGUUUUCUUGUACCAUUCCUUGGUGAGGUAAAGGUAUUCUCCAUGGACAAUGAGCAAGGUAUAGACAAUGACGAAGAGAUGAUGGGAGUACCAAAAGGCAUUGAAGCCAGUGAGCCUUUUGAGAGGUUGGGGUAGGUUUUUGAGCUUACCUCUUCUAAAACAUGGUGCUGCUAGUGUGAAGGCUAUGGUCAUCAACACUACCAUUAUAAUGCCAGUUACACCUUCUACUGAUUUCACAAAAAACCAAUAGUUUGAAGGUUGUUCCCCAAAAUAUUGCCUCAUCGGGGCGUAUGUGACGCUGUCUGCUUUGAUGAGACGAGGGAAAUCGCACGCCAAAUGGUAAAUCGAGUGUAUGCCAACUCCUACUGAAAUUCCAAUAGCUAUCACCUAAGUUCACCAAAAAAAGUUGAAUAAGAUUUAGUUUUGUAAUCGCCAUAUAUGUAAAGAACAAAAAUGAGCAACGUUAUUCUGUCGCAUCAGUUAUGGAAAUGUUGGUGAUGAAAUGCUUACCUUAUGGAAAUUGAGGUUAUCAUCAAAAGGAACGGCAACACCCAAUUUGGUCUUGUUCCUUAGCAAAGUGAUAGUGUUUCUACACACUGGAAGUAGAAUAAGAGCCAUGUUGAACUUGAGUGUCUCAGCUGCACCUUUGGCCAUGGAUACACAAUGACCCAUUACGUGAUAUGCAGCCCUAUUUUUAUACUGCACAUACUUAUAGGCAAACAGAGCAGCCAUGAUCCCAAUCCACAAUGCCAUUACCCAAACUCUCUUCCAAUUGUCUUCAAGAAAGUAGUUGGCUCUCCUAUACCACCUUGUCAGAGGGUUGUCCUCCCUCACUGGCUUCAGCUUCUGGCUCAGCAUUUUGCUCAAGUUCCGGCUCUCUUUUCCACGCGCCACCGUCUCCUCCGGUCCAUACAGUAGGAGUGUCUCCAAGCUGUCUAUCUGCUCAAAACUAUGUCGUUUUAGACUCCUGUUUGAAAUUAGUUUUCAUAUUAGUACAAUUUCAUUACCAUGAUGUAUCCAAGAUUGUCUGGAUCCAACUCUUCCAUGAUCAAUGCUGCAUAUUCCUGUGCUUGUGUCUGGAUGUUUGAUAGUUUAUUGGCAGAAGCACUGAAGCUAAUGAUCUGCAUUAUUAAUAUAACAAUGAAUCAAACAAUUCCAUUAUUUGGAAACUAAUAAUUCUGAAGAAAACUCACAUGGUAUAGCUAGCUAGAAAUAGCAUACAUGCCAUAUUAGAUCAUAUCAUAUGCCAUAUGCCAUACCUCCUUGACUUCUUCCACACUGAUUCUUCCAUCCCCAUCCUUAUCAACCCUGAACAAACAAAACCAAGUUGCAGAUGAUCAAUUACUUACCUUGGAAAUAACCAAGCUCAUCGGAGUUUUUUAUAUCGGAUAACUAAAUCAAAUGCUACAACUAGUCUAUCGUUAUCGAUUAAGAUUAAGAAGAUAUUAGCUUAAUUAGUCAUUACUUACAUAAGAUUAAGAAGAUAUUAGCUUAGUUAUUACUUACAUGUCAAAGAAAAUUUGCAGCCUGGAAUUGAAGCCCUGCUCAGAAACUUGUGUCCACAUCUCUUUCAACUCCUCCUUGUUGAUCGAAUCGCCUUUGAUCCCAUGCUUCCUGGCCAAAGCGUCGAACAGUUUUCCGGCGAACUCCUUGCAGUCUUUGUUCAUCCCUAUGCACUCCCCGAACGCAGCACGUGGCAGCAUCCCGUUAGUCGAGCCUGUAAGCUUGUCGAACCUUUUCUCGACCGCCGGCCACUCAGCAUUCCCGUCCGUUUUACUUAUGAACUUGAGUCCCUUAAGAGCCGGAGCAGCCGCUGACUGCAUCCGGUCGAAACGGCGCCGUUGCGGCAGCUGCUGCUUCGAGAACGACGUCAGCUUCUUCAGCUCCUGCUUGAUCCGUACGGAGGCUGUACGUACGAACGACUGGUCGUUGUUGCUCUUCUGGGGCGGCUUGUCGCCGCCGAGAAGAGUGAGGGAGUCGUCUGUGUUGUUGGCGUCGCCACGUGGCAGGGGCUUGACGCUGCUUACGUCGACGGAGACGUCCUCGACGUAAGGCUCUUCUUCGUGGUUGUUGGUUCUCUUGCUGCCGGUUCUUUUGUUCAGAGUCCCGCUGAGACUGAGCGGAGCGGUGUAGCCGGCGCCGGACAUUUUCUCGGGUGCGGGGAGCUCGUUGUCGGAGUGAUACUGAAGUGGUGGUGCUACUCCGGCGGAAGUAGCAGCUUCUCCGAUAUGAUCUUCUGGGGCUGUUUCCUUCAUGGCUAGAUUAUAUUGAGGAUUCUCCGACAGAGAAGUUAAUGCUGGAAAGCCGAGUCUGACCUAGAUAGAACUUGUGCCGGUGUUUAAUGUGUUCUAAAUAACGAAAUCUCUGUGAGUCUUAGUGGUCGGAGUGUAAGAGUACUGUAAUGUCUCUUGCAUUAUCACCUUAAUUCUUUAUAGGUGAUCAUCUUAGAGAAAACCAAACGUAGCUUCCUGCUCAACAAAUCAUUCUUUUCUUUUUUGGGUUACACAUCACUACAUCAGACUAUUUUUUUCACCCAUCAUUUUCGACAUUUUUCACACCAUUCUUUCAAAAGGCACACAUAAGGUAAAAUACAAAAAGCUUGGUAAGUUCAAUUUAGAGUUGAACUUACUAAAGUGUUGAACUCGACGACUCACUGAUUAAAUGAAGUGUCAUAAAAUGUGUUUUAGAUAAUAGAUGAUUCGAACUUCGAAAGUAAUGUAAAGUGGUGAUCGAUGAAUAUAUGUAUAUUAAAAGCUCUUUCUUUGAUUAUUAGAAAACCGAAUCCCACAAAUAACUAAAACAAUCUAGAAUUGUCACCAUUGUAUUGGGCAAGUCUUUUGGCUGAUGCGUCCUAUCUUCCUUCUCCUUUCCGUUUUUCUUCAUUUUUACUUCAUACUUUUCCUUUAUCACAAAGGAAAGCUAAUGUAAAUAUCUAAUACUACCAAACAUACAAUUUAACCAGCACACAUGUAUAUGCAAUCAUGGACACCACUCCUCUUUACAGCAAAUUUGCUGUCCCAAAUAACAAAAUUAAAAAAAAACAAAGUUGCAGAGUCCAUGGACAGAGAAAAUAGAAAAACACAACUAGCUAGGGGAGUUGGUUCUGGUUUAUAAUUUGGUAUUUCGAAGAGGAUGUUUCUGAUUAUAAUUUAUAAAUGAUUGAUUGAUAUUUGAUAGUGUCAAAUGUGAAAGAUGCAAUGUAUAGCCAUAGCCAUUACUCUUUCCCCAUAACUAGACCAAUCCCCAACUACUCUAUGGCAUUGGCUGCUGCCAUAAAACCACUAAAUAAUGGAGUAAUCUUGUGUAGAACAUGGCAGAGAAAACAUAGUAAGGAUUAGCAUUAGAUAUACUACUCAAAUUUGUACAGAGUCAACACUAAUAUAUAGUAGGUGCAUAAAAUAAGAACAACUCUAUGUGACAAUCUUCAAACCACAUGGUUUUGAGGUUUUCUAAUGUAUAUAAAGUUUAUCUGCGUGAUCAUAGGGAUCGAUGUUUGGUGAUUUUUUCACCUGUUCUGACCUUGACACGAAUUUAACACGAGUUAAAAACCAGUACGUUAACAACCGGCAACUACUAAUUUUGAACAAACACAGACUAUUUUCAGUUUUAAAAAGUUACUGAAUGUAACCCUGAGAAUCAGCAUUAUGUGCAAAGUUAUAACCAGGCAGUGGAUUCAGUCCAUCUCAAAACUCAGUGCUAGUUGUAGUGAAACACCUCAUUUCAAUACGUCCGGCAUCACUCGAUCAUUUCCGACUUUGUAUGAACUAUGUUCAAUUGUUCAUACAAUUCCAGCACAUAUCAAGCGAAGAAGGAAGAUACGUAUUCAGCAUUGACAUAAGUAUUUUCAGUUCGACAAAUAGGCGUAGACUUAUAUGCAACAGCGUAGACUAUGUAAACAGUAUGGUCUUUGUCAACGGCGUCUAUUGCAUCGCUGGAAUAUGCCGAGUAUAAGCAGUGGAUUGCACAUCAUAGAGGACGCUGGCCGGCACAGUUGGUUUUUGUACUAACCGGAAAAAGGCAAUGAUUUCUUCUCUUGAAUUGUUCUUUUCUCUCUUGUGAUCAUUCAAUCACGUUAAGCAAUUAUGCAUGACCAAUUAUGUAAAUGGAAAACAAACUCCAUCCUAAGAGACAAAUAUCAUCUCUAGCAAAUUUGGGACCAAUAUAAUCGAGCCUUUCAUAUCAGACACGACACAAUUUUAUUAUCUGACCCACACUUCUCCCCGUUAACUUGACCUGAUCUGUGGAUAUGUGUUUUAAUCGGAUAUCAAAAGCAAAUGAGGUACUGUCACACGGUGAAAAUGCUGUAAAUAUAUACUCAUCAUGUAAAUUAUGAUGACUGAUCCAGUUUAUAAGUUACAACUCUCUGAAAGGGGUAUCAUAUUUACUCAAUGUUUCAAAGAAUCAUUGAAACUUAUUACUUUAUCUACAGUUAAUGAAUCAGAUGCACUUUAACAAAACUAUAGUGCAUAACUAUAAGAAAUUAUCAAGAUUAGGGAUUAAUUACAAGAUGGAUGCUGUAUACUGGUUUUAGAGAAAGGGGAACUACUCUGACCUGAUCCAUUACUUACAGAAGGGUUCCCAGAAGCAUCUAAAUCAAUGACGGCAGUGUCACCAGGCUGGUAAACUCCAGAAAGGAGGGAUUCACUCAAUGGAUCUUCAAUUAUUAAUGUAAUUGCUCGUCUAAGAGGGCGAGCACCAUAAAACCGAUCAUAGCCUUCUUGGCAUAUGAGGUCCUUGACUGAUUCAGACACGUCUAAUCCAAUUCCCAAAGACAUUAGCCUCUGCUUCACUUCUUGUAGCAUUAUAUUUACAAUCUCCAGCAUCUACAGUAAACGAAAGAUAUAAAUUAAUCAAAAUUCUAGCAUUACCAAGUCAAGAAAGCAAAUGUCAUUAACGAAAAACCUAGCGCUAGAGACAUGAUUAUGUGAACUAUGGGAAGAUGGCAAACCUGAGACUUUUCAAGGGGAUGGAAUACAACUACUUCGUCUAUCCUGUUGAGCAACUCCGGACGAAAAUAUGACUUGAGUUCUUCCAUUACUGUUGCUUUUAUCCCAGCAUAUGAACUAGACUCAUCAUCUGUAAGCACAAAACCAAUGGAGCUUUGUCGACCCUUUGCAAUGAUAGUGGAACCCACAUUGGAUGUCAUCACCACCAAAGCAUUCUUAAAUGAUACUCUCCGUCCCUGUAAAACCCAAAUAUCAGAUAAAAUGAGACAAUAAUCUAAGAUUAUCUGAUACAGAAGAUGAAACAAUGCAAUCAGUUUCCUUGUCUUGGGCCAAGAGUAACUAAAUGCCAAAAGACCACAAACCUGAGAAUCAGUAAGGUGGCCAUCUUCAAAGAUUUGGAGAAGGAUGUUGAAUAUAUCUGGAUGAGCCUUCUCGAUUUCAUCAAGCACAACUACUGUAAAAGGUCGUCUUCGGAUAGCUUCUGUUAGAGUGCCUCCCUCUCCAAAGCCAACAUAGCCUGGGGGUGACCCUAUUAAUUUGCUGACAGAAUGCCGCUCCAUAUAUUCACUCAUGUCCAGUCGUACCAUAGCUUCCUCCUGUAAUAAAAAUGUCAAGGGUCACGACAUCUGAAUAAGAAUUUUGAUGCAUCAAACCACAUGGAAACCGCAAAUGUAACAAGUUAAAAUCCACCAAAAAAAAGUAAAAUGGGUGAUAGCCUAAUAGGGCCUCAAGCGGCAGCAUAAACUUUAGCCUUCUAAUCACCUCUCGUAUAUUCAAUGUUAUUCAAAUGUUCAUAUCUUUGUCAACAGUGUCUGCUUACUCGGCCACUAUAUCUUUUUUAAGAAAGAUUGAUCCUUCCAUUACAUUAAAUAAGUAUGCCUAAGCCUCAUUGUGUUCCUGACUGAUUCAAGGAUCCUUUCCGUUUUUAAUAUAGACUAUUAUUCAAUGUAGAAAUAGUAUUGGAUAGCUGAGACUUACAGAUCCAAAAUAAGAUGCAGCCAAAGCUUUUGUCAGUUCAGUUUUACCAACUCCAGUAGGACCACAAAAUAGCAUUGUUGCCAUUGGUCUACCUGGAUCCUUCAAUCCAACCCGAGACCUCCUAACAGCUCGGGAAAUGGCUGCAACAGCCUCAUCUUGACCAACAACUCGUCUUCUGAGCUUCUCAUCAAGACCCACCAAAAGCAGUCGGUCAUCAGCAGUGAGCUGCUGAAGAGGGACUCCUGACCAUAGUGAGGCAACUGCUGCUAUAUCAUUUGGUCCCACCACAGUAGGUCUGAAAAGUUUAUUACCAAGAAAUCCAGUUAUAUAUCAUUCAGGCCCUUGGGAAAUUCAGGUGAAAAGCAUUAUCCUUUUAGACACAUUUUCAGGGCAAGAAGUCAUACUCAUCAUCUACUUUGGAAGAUGAAACGGAGUCUAGAAUAUGUUCACUGGUAUUGUCCACAGAAGCAGCUCCAUAUUUCAGUUCACUUGAUAGGACCUGCUUAUAUUAAUUAUAAACACCAACAUUAGUAGAAGAGAAAUGAGCUAGGUAAGGUAGGAUAGGAGUCGAGAGUAAUGCUAUUACCACUUCAUGCAUCGCCUGAACUGUACGAAUUUCUUGCCAAUAAUCAUCCGCUGACUUUGAAAGUAUGCCAACCUGCUCUUCUUUUUUCUUCUUAAAGGCUUCCAUACGAGCUCUACUUCCGGCCUCAUCAAGGAGAUCGAUAGCUUUAUCAGGAAGAUAUCUAUCAGGAAUAUAUCUUGCUGACAGGUACACAGCAGCACUAAUGGCUUCUGGUGCAUAUAUACAGUUGUGAUGGGCCUCAUAUCUCUCACGCAGACCAAAUAGAAUCCUAACUGCAUCCUCCUAGGAAAUUUCAAACCAUAUCUAAUUAUGAACUGUACAGAAAAUGACCAGUAGACACACAGUAAGAUGAAAACACUUUUUGUAAGAGACCUGGCUUGGUUCAUUAAUCCAGACAGGUUGGAAUCUUCGUCCAAAUGCUUUAUCCUUUUCAAGAUGCAUCCUGUAUUCAUCGGUAGUAGUGGAUGCAAUACACUGAAAAAAAAAAUGUCCAUGCAAACUGAGUUAUGCUUUAAAGACUUAAUAAACGAGAAGAUUAAAAACACAGUAAGAACAGUUGCACAAAUAUUAAGAAACCUCUAAUUUAAGAAAAAUUAAAAAGAUAACCUGUAAUUUACCCCUCCCGAGUGCCGGUUUCAUAAUAUUAGCAAUGUCAAGACCAGACCCCUUAUUUCCUCGUCCAACUGUGCCGGACUCAAUAAGGGUAUGAACUUCAUCAAUAAAUAGAAUAACAUUUCCUGCAAUGCAAGCGCAUCUACAAUCAGCCUAAUGAAUUUCUGUUCCCAUAGAAAUUCAAGAAGGUGUACUCACCUGAUUUUUGUAUAUCACUUAUUAAGGAGGUAACACGCGACUCCAACUCUCCCCUCUCCUUUGCACCAGCCAUUAAUAGUGCUACGUCCAAGGACAUUACGCGUUUUGUCUGUGGAAACAUAAAUGCUAAACAAUUUGUAAAUAUACAGCUUUUUCAAAGUGAAUAUAAGUAACUGCAUUUGGAUGAGAUUGUGAGAACACACCAACAGAUAAACAGGGACAUCUGCCUGUGCAAUACUAGUUGCGAGACCUUCAACAAUGGCCGUCUUUCCAACCCCACUUUGACCGAGAAGAAUUGGAUUAUUUUUAGUUCUGCGACAAAGUAUCUGAAUAAUUCUCUGAACUUCAGUAUCCCGUCCAAUAACGGGAUCAAUGCGUCCCUCGCUAGCACGAGCAGUGAGAUCCACACAGAACCGUUCCAAAGCGCUUUUUUCUGACAAGCACAAUGUGUUAAACACCAUUACCUUUGCCUAUAAUACUAAACAAUAGAGAUAAGCGAACUUACUUCUUACCUUUGGUUUUCCCAGACGAUGCAGAAGACUUUUUAGAAAAGGUCUUUCGAGAUCCCCCAGAUGGCUCUCUGCCAUCUUUGGCGAGCUCUAUUUGAAGUCUGGAGGCUGCCUCAGCUAACAACUGGUUUACAUUUACCCCCAGUCUGAAAUCACAUUAAAAUAGCUGGCUUCAGAAUACCAUAUUUGGCAAAUUUUAUAUCCAACUUCAGAUUCUGAAUUCAUCUACAUGCAGCUCAAACAGAUAGUAAUGUGCUCUCUCAGGUCACAAAAACUUCAUCACAAGCUACAGCAAAAAACAAGACUUCUUUGGCUACAACAUUCAUAUAUUACAUGUUCUCUAUCAUGAACAAAUAUACUCCUUAAAAGUUUCUCUUUUUGUGACAAAACAAACGCAAAUAUGUAAAUUGUGAUGAAGAUGAAACAAUAUGUAGUUCCUUACCCCCGAAACAACAAUCAAUCCUCAUAAUGCACAUAACUAGAUGAGAAGCCACUCCCAUAGGAUUACAAAUAGUAGUACAUUAUAUGCAUAUCAUUAUGAAAUAGUUCAUAGUGUUCUGAAGUCGAACCCGAUUGACAGAUGCAACUCAUGGAUAGAAAGUAGAAACUAUAACCUGAAACCAAACUAAAUGCAACAAAAUAAACAAAGCGAAAAAAAAUUGGGAAAAAUGGGACACCUUUUAAGAACCUGACCAGCACUUCCAUCAUCAACAGUCAACAAACCGAUCACAAUGUGCUCCGGUGCAAGAAAAUUAUGAGCUCUACUCCUCGAAUACUCCAGCGCAGCCUCCAGAACUCUCUUCGUGCUAAUCGCAAACGACAGAUCCGUAGCCGAACCCGAACCAGAGCCAGCAGAAGUACCUUGACUUUGACUUUGACUGCUUUUACUAUUAUGCCGCCAAAUGCUCCGGACGGCGCGGCGGGCCUGGUCCAGGGUCAUACCCGACCCGAGAAACCCGAGCGAAUUCGGAUGAAGAUGGCGAUGCUGCUCCUCCUCGGCGAUCAAACCGAGCAGGAGGUGCUGAGUGAACACCAUGUCCCUUCCCAAAGCCUUGGCUUCUCUCUGGGAAAAGAUGACGGCUUUGAUCGCGCGCUCCGUGAACCGCUCGAAGACGGCGGAGACGACUCGGAGCUUCGAGGUCUUUCUCCUCCGGCCGCCAUGGAAGGGAGUAGCGAACAACGAGGAAGAAGAAGAAAAUGGAUUUACAAGGCGAAUUGAAACGACGGCGUUUCUGCGUUCAUAAGUAGUACUGGUGGAAGCAACGGCGGGAGUAAAUGAAACGUGUUGAGAUGGAGUUCUCCAUCGAAGCGGAGAUGAUAUCAGCACGGAGGAUGAUGACGACACAUGCAUUCUUCAGUUUCUGAUGACUUUUUCAGGCGGAGGAAGAAGAAAGAGGGAGAGGUGGGAAGUGUGGUAGUUUUGGUUUUGCUGUGGUUUUCUUUUGAAAUAGUAUAAUGAGAACAGUUAACGAAGCAACUUCAUUUUUAUAUAUACGUGUAGCUAUCAGACAGUUAGAGCUGAAAAUGAAUGGAAAUUGUGAUUCUAUUGUUAACCACGUCCAACUGUCCAAGCAAGAUCACUUCGCAAGCAAACAUCUCCUCUUACGGGGAAUUACCUUCGGCUCAAAUUUAAGUUCGUAAACGUAAAAUGCUCUUAAACAUUAGAGCUACAACGUCCGUCACAAAUUAGUUACAAACGAAAUAUCUUAACUAAUCUUUUAUUCUAAAAUAGAACAUGGCACCAUAAUUAAGUAGCAUAUGAUUGGAAAGAGGAGCAAAAUGUCACAUUGACCUGAUUUGAAUCUUGUCACAUUUAACCUGGUUUGAAUCUUCCUAGUGCUCUGUUUGAUGUUCUCUUCUUCAGGAACAAAAAGGUACAAAUUUGAAGUAUAAGCCUUGAACUGCAAGGAAAGCAAGGAAGAAGAAAGAGAGACGAAAGGUAUUGGGUAGAGUAGUACGACACGUCGACGCCAAGAACCCACAAAGUCAAAACUUUAGUCCAAUCACAACGCUGCGUUUUGUACUCAUCGCAUAUGUUUGUUUUUCUGUUCUACAUUCUACUACUGUCUCUUUUGUCUUCAUCAGAAAAUAAGAUGGCUUUUUGAACCAAGGCAUAGGACGGCUGACUCGGUUCAGUUUGAUACGCUACUCUUUCGUAACUAUCAAUUUGAGCCUCUAACCCAAAACGAAAAUAUCAAUUUGAGUCCUAUGAGAAAGUCUGGUUCAGCAUGCAACCUUAACCUACAUUCCUAAUGUCUUGUACAAUGUGAUGCAAAAGGGGAAAGGGGGUACCAGUACUUUGAAGAAGCAGCACCAAUUUCAACCGACUUUCCGGGACCUGCUGGCAGGCUAGCAGCUCUAGAGGACAAUGACAGGACCACUCUGCCCAAACAUUCUUUCAUUUUUGCCUAUAAUGAUCCAACACUUUCGAAGUAGUGGUAGGCAUUGAGCAACUUGCCCCAUUCUGUUAAGAGAUCCCAUUCAAUCACAUAAGGAAAUUUCAUCGACAUCUCCAUUCUCCACAUAACAUGGGACAUUCCCUCACCUCGAGCCAAUCCUGAACCCGAAGAGAUCCCAGUGCAGUGUCCAAUGCGACUGAUCUGAUAAGUUCUGAAACAACCUACUUCUUGCAUUUAGCACACAUCUUGCUGAGAGAUGCACUUCCUAUCUUCAUAAAGAAGCAUUUACACAUUGCUUGUCAACUCUCUCUGCUUCUAGUAUCAAGCAUUUCGCUUCAGACAGGAUUUCAACAGCUCUCAGAUGAUUGGCUCCAAAGAAUCUCAGCGUAAGCCUUCUCAUCUUCCUUCUCUUCAACAACAAAAUCAGUUGCCUCGACAUCUUCAUCUUCAUCUGGAAUCUCUUCCAUAACUUCUGCCUGAAUCUCUUCCUCUCUAUGUUUUUCUCUCUCUUUUUCAGUAAGUUCAGCUAAUGCCUGCCACAUAGCCAGCCUCGUUGCUGGCCUGUCUCCUCGCUUGUAUUUUGGAGCAGGCACCACAAAUGGCAAAACAACAUCAUCCAAGUUUGUGCUAUUUUGAUUGGCAUUACUGUCUGUCUCUGUUUGGGGAAAGGUGAAAAUGAUCCCGAGUUCAUAAUUGCAAAUAUGUAGCAUAUGAUCCGGAGAUGAAUUGACAUUCCCUAUUCCAUUUGUUUUUAAACUAGAUGGAGUGGAAAUUGAACGUCCCCAGGCAGCUGCACUGAAGUUAUGUGACCCGCAGUAAACCCAACCACAUGAAGAUGCAUCUGUCCUAGACUGGAACCGUCUUCGGGCCACCUGCUUACAGAUAAGAGGAUACUGUUAUAACCAUAUGGCAAUGUAUGACAAGAUGUCAGAUCCUUAAAGGAACAGAUUAGCACACUGAUGAGAAACAUAUGCAAUAACUAAGCAUACAAAUUAAGAUGGGGCGUACUAGAUUCUAUGGAAAUACUUUCUACUUGGUGGAAAAGGAAAAGAAAAGGAGCAUCUGAAAGAGAAUAUAUGAAUGGGGUAUUUCUUCAAAUAAGAUUAUAGUUCUAAUUGAUCAGUAAAUAUGUAGCCUAAAGAAGAGGCUUUUGUUGUCACAGUUGAAGGGGUUACUUAAGAAGCUUCAGGAUUGACUAAUUUAGAACACUCUCAAUUCUUAUGGCUCCAAGCACUUUCUAUCUCAAACAUCCUCUAAUACUAUACUUUUGAUUUCUCUAACCUGUUUGGUUUUACUUUAAACCAACCUUUUCUGAGGAUUAUACAACCAAAAACCAGUUUCUCAUUGAUGAAAGCAUAUAAACCUUUUUCAUAGUCGUACUAUUUAUCUUCUUUGCAGUUUGACAUAUAAAUCAGAUAAAUUUUACUCUUAAAUCUGUCACAAUCAGCCCCGACCCGUUAUUUGUUCUGCAAUUCUGCACUAUAUCAGUCCUGCUCCUAACCAUUUAUGUAUGCAUCUUAUCUCUAAGCCAUGCAACAACUCCUGAAAGCAUUAAAUGCAAAGAUGCAGGUUAAUAGAUCACUAGGGUUUCAAAUACCUAAAAAGAGAAAAGAGCACAGGAAAUCCAAAUCAAUAGCUCUGUAUGUUACCAAGAUGCUUAAUAGCAAAAGCAGUAUCAUUAUCAAUGCUAAUUGUAACUAUUGUACACCGUAAUCUGAUAACUAGAAGAGCACUGCAAAUCAAUAGUUCCAUAUGAUACCAAGAAAUAAAAGGAAAGGGAAUAGUUUUUCUACAUAUGUAAAUCCACAAAAGUCCUAAUUUUAUAAAACAGGAUCUCAUACCUUGGUAUGCAUUGGAUAUCCCACUCUAUCAUAGGGAUGAGGAAUUGCAUCAUGAAGUAUAUCUACUGUCCUCAGCCUUUGCCAUGUUUUCUGCAAACCAACGAAACAAUAAGAUAUCGAAAGUAAACAAUCAAAUGAAAGAAAUUCUUGAAAGAAGAAAACAUUAUCAAUUGGUGACUGUUCAUAAUCAUUUGAUAACUUGAGACGACAUGAAAAUUUACAGUCAGUAGGAGGAUUCUGUAACAUUAUUAAUUUCUCAUCUUACUCACCAGAAUAGGUUUUCUAUGAAAUAUGGAAAAGGAAUAAGAUUGGCAAAUGCAGUUCAAGUGCUUUUUGUAUGAGCAUACUAACUAAAGCAUGUGCUGUAAAAUACCAAAGUAUAUACCACAAUACAAUGUAUCUGCAUCCAUCCUAACCAAGAAACUAGAAAUGUCUCUUAACCUGUGGUGAACAGGAAAAGACUUCCUGUCAUCCAUGAAUAAAGGCAAAAAUGUAAUGGAAUUUACACCUAUUAGGUUAAACUGUAAAUAACCAAGUGUUGAGGAAGGAAGCACAAUCUAUUAUCUCCCUCUCAAUCCACAGAAUUCUUUACGAACAUGGAAAUAGCUCAUUUUGGCCCUACUGACCCCACCAACUUCGACUUAAAUUGCAGAUAACAACCCACCAUCGAGAACUAUUACAUAAUGCUGAGAAGAUCAUACCUCAGAGAAGCAAAGAACACGUUUUGAAGGAAAAAUUCCACUACGUGCAUUCUUCACUCUUUCGAUGGUUGGAAAAAUGAUUCUAAUGGAUGGAUCCUUUGAUUCAUGACGAGCAUUCCAACAUCCCCACUGUUAAGACCAUUCACUACUUGAUGAAUCAGUAAACAUAAAUUUUUUGAAAAUUUCUAUAAAAGCACAAGUGUGUUUAAUCACCUCUGGAUCAGACUCCUCAGAAUCAAACUGAAAUGAUUUCUUUCCUGCAGCUGCUGAAAAUUCGGCUAAAAAUUUUGCAUUGAUUGACCCAAUUGAAGAUGCACCUUAGAGUGAAAAAAGAAAAUAAAAAGAACAAAAUUAAUAACAUGUCUUUGAAGCUCCUUGUUGUGACUAACAAAGAAUAUGUAUUUACCAACUUUCUUGGAUAUAUGUUAAAAUUACACUCACCAUAAACAAACUCAGACUCAAGCGAUUCAGGCCAUUUAUAUUGACCUAAAACCUAACAAGAAGAAAAGAUUCAUAAGACACUGAAAGUGACAUCGAGAAUAACUAUUUAUAAGAAUUGGAUUGAUGAAGUGUAUAAAUAAUCAUGGAUGCAAAAAUAUGUUACAGAAAUUUGAUGACAAAGAGUUUCACUGAGAUUACCUCCUGCAAGCGCCAGAGGCCUGUACACCUUUCAAUUGCUGCAACCAAAGAGCAUAAUGCAAUAACAUGUUGAGGUUGCAUCAUCUUUGAUAUAUCCUGAAACUGUGGUCCCUGCAAACAUUCAGCUCUCAUCUUUAUAUAUACCCACUCCAAAUCUAAACAUGUUAAGAUUUAGAGUCUUAGACUAUCUCCAGCCUACGCAACCUCAAUAUGUAAGUCAUAUCCAAUAAUCUAGGAUAUAAUUGUACCUGUAACACAUGCAGUCUCAGCCAUACUUUCUUGUUGUUUCCUCCUAGAGCUGCUCCAACGGCUUCUUUAGGACAUACGUAACCUGAGAAUCUAAAAAACCCAAUAUCCCAGAGUGGAGAGAUCCAUUUUGCAAUGUUUUUAGGCAAAAACCCAAGUUGAACGCAAUCUACUACAAGAAAAAAGGGAAUAAGACAAUUUGGUGAGCUAGCAGCAUAGACGGUCACACGAUUAACAACUUAGAAUCACAUUUAAACUAACUGUGAUACUUGAAGCAAGAUCGAAAGAAAUUUGCACAAUUGUAUGAUUACAUUCUGCCAAAACCAAAAAUAUAGAAUAAUAUGAAAAACUAUACACCAGUGAGGUGUUCUGGACCAAAACUUUUACCUCUCUCAGAGAACUUGUUAGGAUUUGACACAUGAAUGCUCACUGCAUUUGCAUCAGCAGGUAUAUUUGUGUUUCUUGUUAAGACAAUUGAUAAAUCUUUUGCUUCACAAGAUUUCCUGAGAAAUGAAGCCAGUUUCUUCAGCUUUGCACCAUUUGCAUCUGUUGCAUUGUGAAAGAGGUAGCUUAGGCCGACCACAGAUGUUUCAACUGAUCCAAGGAAUUUCAUACCAGAUGACCCUGAUGGACCGCGAUCAGCCUGACAAGAAACAUAGUGAGAAUUUUUUUUUAUUGAGUUAAUUUAACAAAAUAAUCCAAAAGACCUAGUUAAUCAAGCAGCCAUAAAAAGAAGCAAAUGAAGUGUUCCCCCUCGUCACUGAAGAGAUGCGACAACCAAAAAAGCGAGUUAAAUCCUAUCGAGAAACAGAAAAAGUUCAGUUUAUACUUGAGAGGUCGGCCUUUACUGAACAUUAUACCCAGACAGAGAAUAAAAGAUGAAAGUCAUGAUUGACAUUUGAGUCCUAUGGAGCGUAAGUAUUGAAGUGGUAUUGACAUUUGCACUUCAGCUUUCAAUUCAACCAAAAAGAUGCAGGGACUGAAAACACUUACACACACAGAGUUUCUGGAUUCUAUUAUAUAGGGAGUUUUAUAUGAAUGGAUUCCAGGUAUAGAAGCAACCAAAUGUCCCAUUGCUCCUCCAAAAUCAUACUUUGCCAACUCAACAAUCCACUGGGCCUGACUUGGUACAUCGGUCAGUAGAGUUGCUAGAAAUCCAGCCAGAUAUGAAGCAAAAUCCGAUUUUGAGUCUUGAUUUACUUCCCUGCCGGGAAAUUGAGUAAAAAGUGAUGAAUAAUCAGGAGCACUUCUGCGAGGGAAAUCUUGCCACCAGACGGUAUUGGUUACCGCAUUCCACUGCUUAGUUAUAAGAAGCGUUAGUAAUUUUGUAACGGAUCAUGAUGGGAACUAAAACAGAAUGUCAGAUUGUUGAAAAGUUCAUACACAGCUCAUUUUAGUUUAGGUCAUCACCUGUGUUGGCACUAAAUUGGCAGAGGUAAUGAUAACACGAAUACUAUCAUCUCUCUGUAAAACAAACAAUUUUGGAUGAUGGCAACCAAUGCCAUGUCUUUUCAGGUCUUCACCAAAAGCUAUGGCCUCAGGGAAUGGGGGAUACCUAUUAGAAUGAGAAAUGAAUAAAGAAGAAUGAAUAAACUUAAAAAGAAAGAUACUCUGCCCCAGUUCAACAUAUAUUAGUCUACUGUACACUACCAAACAUGCCCAAUUAAUGAAUGAGAUGUAUGGCAAUAUUCUUACACUACGAUUAAGUUUGGAAAUUCUGGGUAAGGCGCAGAUGUUCUACUUUCAGUGCUUGAACUCCAACAUCUCUCUGUACUAUGGCAAGCAACUGUUACUGGCAGAUGGCUGGGAAUCUCACAGGUUGACAAAAA
RNAcentral lists this long non-coding RNA (59342 nucleotides) under Fragaria vesca (wild strawberry). RNAcentral describes it as "long non-coding RNA (FVES_LNC005373)". Lineage: Eukaryota; Viridiplantae; Streptophyta; Magnoliopsida; Rosales; Rosaceae. The record is from RNAcentral.